Molecule: long non-coding RNA, 53423 nt
Filed under: Citrus maxima (pomelo)
Lineage: Eukaryota; Viridiplantae; Streptophyta; Magnoliopsida; Sapindales; Rutaceae
Description: long non-coding RNA (CMAX_LNC002757)
Source: RNAcentral
GAGGUUCUCUUGUUUUGGAGAUUAAUCUUUUAGAGGUUUUUCACGGAGGAGAUGUUGUGGAUUCUGAUCAUACUUUUGAUGGUCAAGUGUUUUGGAACUUGUACUCGAAUUGAAUAUUGUACGGUGAGAUAAGUUGAUGUGUGUAUUAAUGGUAUUAUCUAAUAUAAACAUAGGAUUGGACAUAUAGUUGUGUCAAUGUAUUGUGUAAUUUAACUACCUCUAGAUAAUAUUAUCGUUUGUGUAAUGAUUGUAAUUGAUGUUUUGUUGGAGGAUCCUUUAGUAUGCUUAUAAAAAGGAUUCAAGUGUGUUGUAACGAGCAGAGCUCUUCUAAGUCUAGUCCAUAAAUAAAUAAAAGAGUUGACUAUAAUGUAAUAUUGUGGGGUCUUCUACUGUGUCUAUAAAAGGAUCCAAGUGUGUUGUAAUAUGAGUAGAGAUUCAUGAAUUUAGUCUAUAAAUAAAUUAAACAAGUGUUUUAUAUAGUCCUUUUAUGAACAUGUAUGGUCUCAUUUCCUUCAUAAAGCAAUGUAUAGCCGUUGUGACAAAAUCUUAUUACUCAAGUUUACUCAUGAAUCCUUUACACAAAUGUUACAAAUGUAUAAUAACAAAAUUGAAAAGUCAUUUUCACACGUUACAAAUAUAUACUAACAAAAUUGAAAUAACAUUAUUACAAAUUAGAACAAUAUGUAAUAACAAAAAAUAAAUAAAUAAACUCGAGGCUUGUAAAGUUAAUAGUUUAUUUAAAACAAAUUAGAACAAUAUGUUUUAUAUAUUACUGGUGAAGAUGAAGAAGAGAUUCGAAUAACAAGAAAUAACUUAUUAGUUCGCUUCCAGAUGAAAAAGCUUGGUCAGCUUAAGCACUUCCUUGGUCUAGAAGUUAUCGAAUAGAAGAAGGGAUAUUUCUUUACCAACAAAAUUAUGCCAAAGACUUGCUGAAGAAGUUUGAAAUGAUGGAAUGAAAACUAAUCUCAACUCCAUUGGAAGUAAAUGCAAAAUUGUGCACACACGAAGGUAGAGAUUUACAAUAUAGAACAAUGUAUCAACAAUUGGUAGGUAGUUUAAUCUACCUUAUGCUGAAUCAACCGAAUAUUUCAUAUGUCGUAGGUGUCAUGAGUUGGUAAAUGCAAAAUCCAAAGAAGCUUCACUUGGAAGUAGUUAUGUGAAUACUAAGAUAUGUGAAGAGUACAAACAAUUAUGGUUCAUUGUGCAAGAAAGAUGAAAUUACAAGCUGACUAGCUAUUGUGACGCUGACUACGCCGGAGAUCAUGAUACAAAAAGAUUAACUACUAGGUAUGUUUUCAGAAUUAGGUCUGGAGUAGUUUUUUAGUGUAGUAAGAGACAACCAACUGUAUCACUAUCAACCACAGAGGUAGAGUAUAAAACAACAAUGAUGACAUCUCAAAAAAGCACUUGGUUGAUGUAGUUGAUCAAGGAUCUACACCAACUAGUAGAUUAUGUAUGCAAUACCACUGUAUUGCGAUAAUCAAUCGAUAAUCAACUUGGGAGAAAAUCUAGUUUUCCAUGCAAGAACUAAGCAUGUAGAGGUCCAUUAUCACUUCAUCAGGGAAAAUGUCUUACAAGAUAAAGUUGAGAUGCGGUACGUCAAGACAAACAAUUAAGUUACGGAUUUUUUUUUUUAUAAAAAGUCUUUGUACCAUGAAGUUUAAAAAGUUUCGUCAGCAGCUCAAUAUGGAUCGAAUGAUGAAACUUGGUUUUGAGGGGGAGUGUUAAAAGUGCAACACCAAUUUUAUGAUCCAAUUAAAUAACAUUUGUCCAAAUCCAAGUUCAUAACUCAAUCCAUAGAAGACUUAAGAAUUGUGUAGAGAACAUGGGACAUUUCUAAUCUAAAAAUAUUUAAUGAUGAUGAAAAUAUCUUAUUUUAGAAAUCUCUUGAACGGUGAUAUUUAUAAAAUGUGAUUGUUAAAUUUUUAUAAUUUAAUGUUUUGUGUGGUUUGUAUUAGUUUUAGGAUACUAUAAAUACCGCUAAACUCUUUGUUGUAGGCAUCAAGAGAGGAGUGAAGAAUUAGUAGGAAGAAAGAAGAGUGAGCCGUGAGUAUCGUAGUGUUUUUCUUAUAAAAUAUCAAUAAAAUCCUUUAAUUUAGUAAAAUUCUUCUAUUUCUUAAAUAUUUUCAGUCUUAAGCAGCUUCGUCCUUCUUUCUCAACAAAAGCAUUCCAUUUAGUAUAUGAAAAGAAAGUUGUGAGUUUGUGAAGAGAGAAUAAUUAGAAUAUCUUUUGCAAUUGUUAUUUUCCCAAUUUUAAGUAACAGAGUUGCUUUCUCCUAGUAUAAGAGAGAUUGUAAUUGUUCUAUCCUUGUAUUCAAAGAAAAUUGUUAUAAUCCUCAUUUGAAUAGUGAAUUCUUUCUACUUUUGUUGUGGAUUUUUAACCCGGUUUAUUUGGAAUUUUUUCCACUUAAAAUUUGUGUGUCCCAUAUAUCUUCAUUUGUUCUUAAUAUCACUUUGGUUUCGGUCUGAUACGGUCCUUAAUUUCCUAAUAGAAAACAACCGAAACCAUCCAAUAACGAGAGUGAUCUCUGAAAGCUCCAUUGCAGAACAUGGAUAACCGCUGCUUCGGCCAUCUGUAUUAACUUUUACCCAGCCAUGCACUAUCGGGCAAAUUUUAGCAAAAUAUUGAAAAUGAGAGGUAUAACCAACUUGUAUUAGAUGAAAGGAGGAUGGGGUGUUUUCAUAUCGUAGCUCUGUCACGGCAUCGAUGUGAAGAAGAUGAGUUGGUCAUGUCUAAUUAACAAAAAAAAAAAAAAUCCUUUCUGCUAAUCCCAAUUUCAAAGCUUUCUUGUGUCGGACUUUAAUUCUAACUUUGUAAUAUCACACUUUCAAUGGUUAUUUUACCUUUAUAUUCACUAUUGACUUAUAGGGGUGAAAUGAAUAAUUAAAACUCUAUUAUGGAUAUAAAUAACAAAAAAGAAAUUUAUGUGUCGCGGAACUGGUACUCAUAUGAAAAUAACAUUUGACAAUAUCGAACCAUUGGAGCACUAAAUAAAUUAUAGCAUUAUAUAAAAGGGGAUUUGAAUACAUGCUCAUGUUAUGCCCUACGGACUUUCUUUUGUAUUUGUUGGCAAAAAUUUGCAGAUCGUAGAUAUUUGCCCCUAAGGUAACAAAACUGCAAAAGCAUUUCGUGGGUAACAAGUAGUCGGGCUUUUAUCUAGAAUAUCUUUAUUCUUCCAUACCAAUAAAUCACUUAGAUUUUAUGGGCUACGGAUGGAAAUUGUUAAAUUCAUUAUUUAUAGAGUUUGUAUUUUAUGGCAAGUCUAGUUAAAUUAGAAUUUUAUUUAUUGUAUAUUUUGUAAUAGUGAUUAAUUUAUUAAUUCCCUAAUUUAGUGAGAUUUCAAUUUAUUAAGAAUAUUUAUUUCCUAAUUUAAUUAGAUGGCUAACUUAAAAAGUCAAUUAAUGAUGUGAUUCUAUAAUUGGCGCAUGAGCUCUAUUUUGAGUAUGAAGUCAGUUCAAACAUGAAGUUUAUUAAAUGAUUUAGAUAUUUCUUGGAAGACAAGCAAUGUAAGAAAAUUAGAUUUAUUCCUAUUCAGAUUCAUAGGAAUUAUAAAAGAAAAUAAACUCUUAUUUGGAAAGAAUCAAAAUCUUUUAAGAGUUAUUAUUUUUGUGAAAUCCUAGUGCCUAUAUAAAGAGAGGUAUUUCACAAUUGAAGGUGUGCAACACGGAGCAUAAAGCAGGGACGCAAAAUUCGGCAUUCUCCCUAAAGAAUCCUAAUUUGGCACAUAAUAUUGUGUUGAUUUAUUUACUUAUCUUCUUUUCAUAUUUGUGUAGAGUCUAUGUGAAUUUUGGAUCACUAGACAUUAAAAAAUUAAAUAAUUGUUAUUGAUCACUUUGCGAAGUGCGUUAAGUAUCGUGGAUCAAGAGGGGUAGUAAUUAUUUAAGAAAAGCAAAUUCAGUCUGUACAAUGAUAAACUGUAAAUGAGAGUUUUAAGUUUGAUAAAUCUAUGGUUGUAACAUCUCAACUUAGUGAAUUACUUUUCAUCUGAGCUUGACCUCGUGGAUGUAGAAUUAAUUAAUCUGAAUCACGUAAAAAUCUCCGUACCAUUUAAUUUCUGUAAUUUAUUGUAUUUUUGAAAAAUUAAUAUUUUGAUGCGGAUAAACAAUAACCGUAAACAUUAACUAUAAACAAUAAGCGUAAACAAUAAUGAUGAAUAGUAAUGGUAAACAAUAUUUCCGAAAGUUAAUUAAGUUGUUAAUUUUAAAUUUUUAAUUACCUACAUCUAAAUUGCCUACAUUUAGUGCAAUUUUGAAAGGUAUUAAAUUGGCAGCGGACUUGGGGUUUCUUCCGCUACUGAUAGAGUCCGAUUCAGUUAAUGUCAUUAGUCUCAUCUCAGGAAAAAUUAACAGCCAAUUAGAGAUUGAUUGGCUAAUAUCUGAUAUUAAAAGUUUUAUUUGUAAGAAAAGUGUUUGCUAUAAGACACAUUCCCAGAUCCGGUAAUUCAGCAGCUCACAAAGCUGCAAAAAUGGCUCUUGAUCAUGCUGAGUCGCGCACAUGGUUACAGGAUGCGCCUCCUGACAUUGUACCUCUCUUGUAAUGUUAUGGUGUAAUCAAUGAAAAUUUUAUUGUAAAAAAAAAAAUCCUUUCAGAAAUUAAUAUAUACUAUUUUAAUGUGGAAAAUCCCUUCAGAAUUAGUUCGAUAAAUACAAUAUUCAUCCAGUUACCGCAGGCUAAUAAUGCUCAUCCUGGAUAACUCAUGUCGCUUUUUACAUAUGCUGUAAUCUAAUUGGUGUGAUUAUCUUUGUAGCCCUACCUUCUCACUUGGCCAGAAUCGAGGUUAUAUAUGGUCAUGCAAUUAUACAUGAAAAAAGAAUAUCUUUCCAGUAGUUCAUUUUCCCUUUCACAUAGAGCGUACUGAGGAUAUAUAUAUCGGAAACCUGAGAAAACUAAUGAGAUAUUUGAAGGUUAAAGGGGAAGCCGGCUCCGUUAUUAAAAGCAAACUUCUUUAUUUAUUUAUAGACUAGAGUCAAGGAGCUUCACCCGUUACACACUUGAAUCCUUUUUCUAGGCACCAUAAAGGAUCCCAACAAUUAUACAUUACAAGUCAUUACCUUUAUUUAUAGACCAGACACAAGGCGCUCUGCCCAUACAACAUACUUGGAACAUUUUUAAAGGCACACUAAAAGACCAUCCACAACAAAACAUUGAUUCGAUCAUUACACUGGAGGUCGCCUUUUCAUCGGAAAUUGAGAUUUACCUUACCAAGAGGUAAUAUCAACGUUACACAAAACAUGACAUAUAACAAUGUCUAAUCUUAUAUCUAGAUUAGAUUACACAGUACACACCAGCUUAAUUAUCUUACAGUAGUAUUCAAUUGGAAUACAAAUGCCAAUACACUUUACCAUCAAAAGUAUGAUCAGAAUCCAGAACAUUUCCAUGAGGUACCUCUAUAAGAUUAAUCUGCAAAACAAGAGAACCUCCUUCCUGCACAUGACGAUCUUUAUACAGUUCAUCUAAUUGAACCAUAGUUCUAAGGCCAUGAAUAGGACGAUUUUUAUCAAUAGGCCUAUAACCAUUAGUAUAACCAGAUGCAACAACAUCAAAAGAUACUUCAGCAUCCAUAUUAUUGGCGGCUGCAGGAGGCAGAUCUCCUCUCCAAGCAUCCUCGUUAGCUCUGGGAACAAAUAGGACGGCCCAGGAAACAAUAGGAGCCCAACUUCGACCAAACAAACCAAAAUCCAUCCUAUUCAAGUCCUUCAAAACACCAGGAUCUGCAUAACGCAGAAAAAAGUAGUCUGAUUUAAAACCUAUCAAUUUUCGCUGAUCACACGCCAUAUCUUCCGUGAUUAAUGAAAAAUAAGCGCUCAGAAUCAGAUCACUUGCCUCAGAAAUUAUUUUCGUUGCUCUGUCACUCUUUUUUCUGCUGCCGUCCAAAGACAUUUUCACGUCUAUUUAUGCAAGGGAGGAAUUCGAACACAAACAAAUCACAAAUAAUUAUUAAUUAAUUAUAAUAGGACUCUUAAUUAAUGCAUUCCAGCAUCUCCUUCUGCAACGUGUCUGGCGACGUGGUUUUGUCUUCGUCUGUGCUCCGCCUUUCAUUUCUUGGAUAUCUUCAUCAUAGGUAUUAGAGCCAAGUUAAGGUUAGGUAGAUGAUACAAGUCCUCUUCAAAAGGAUUUUGCUAGUAUUAGAGCCUAGUAAUGUAAGAUAUAAUCUCUCGUAAAAUUGUGGGCCUAAGUGGAACCUAUAACUAAAUUUGUAUGAGACUGUACCUUACAUUACACGCUUCCUUUAACAAUUGACACAUGUUAAUUAAUGCAUUCCAGCAUCUCCUUCUGCAACGUGUCUGGCGACGUGGUUUUGUCUUCGUCUGUGCUCCGCCUUUCAUUUCUUGGAUAUCUUCAUCAUAGGUGUUAGAGCCAAGUUAAGGUUAGGUAGAUGAUACAAGUCCUCUUCAAAAUAGCUCUCUGUCACAAGUGGUUCCGGUACGUAGAUCCACGUCUUCUUUUGCAGCGUGGUUUGGCCUUUUCAGUUCUUCUCAUUCUUUGAUUUCUUCGAAUAGUUAUCUACAUCGUGUUUACAGGUUGGGUAAGACUAAGGAUUGGGUUCGCACAGUUCUAAUAUUUUGAUUGGACCAUCCUGCAUCUAUCUCUUAUUUAGUUUAGCAUGACUUAUUUAACAUCAUAAAUAUUUAUUUAAUUUUAUAAUUUUUUAAAUAUUAAAUAAAUUAUUUUUUUAUUAGUAAAAUUUUAAAUUUUGAGUUUUUGAAAAUAGAUUGAAAAAUAUUUUUAAACUAUUAAAAUAUUAUUUAUUUAUUUAAUUAUUUUAUUUCAUUUACUUUAUAACAUAAAUUUAAAAAAAUUACCUAUUAAAAAAAUUUAUAAUUUCUUAAUAAAAACUCUUAUUGAUAGUCAAAUACCUUAAAGUUUUAGUAAAAGUUUGCUUGUAAAAGAUUUAUUAACAAAAGUUAUGCCGAAAUAAGUUUUAUUUGAAAAAUUAUAUCAAGGCUUGAUUUGGUAUCAAAAGAAAAUUAUCAUACACUUAUAUUUUUAUAUUAUCAUUUAAAACUGAAGAGAAGAGUAAAGAAAGAUCAAACCAGAGUGAAGAAGGGUUAACAUAAAAUGAAAGAAAAGCCUCGGGCAUUAUACUAUGAUUUGGGAGAAUGAUGCGUUAUUUAGUUUUGGUGGGUGUAAAAGGAAAACGAAGCUUAAUAAUAUGAGCUUAAAACUCAAUUAAAAUGAGUUUAAUGAAGGGUGGUUUUAGCAUUUUAAAGUGCGAUCAUAGUUAAUUUUAAUUUUUGUAAUUUAUUGAAUAAACUAUUUGCAAUGAAUUAAGAAAAGUAAUCAAUAAUUAUAACAAUAAAAGUAAUUAUUAUUGAAACGACCCACCUCGAACUUCAAGAGCAAAUCUAUCUAAUUUCUUUUAACGUGAUUAGUAAAACGUAUUUGCUAAAAUUUUCCAACAUGCAAAUCUGCAAAACAAACACUUUCAAAAUAAUUCAAUACACAACAAAAUUCAUUGAUCAACCUUCUCAACCAUGAUAUUGAAUAUCACCUAAACACUUAUAAAGUAUCAAAAGAUUAUAUUAUAGCUAAUGUCAACAUAUAUUAAACAUUCAUAAGCAUCAAAUCAUAAUACAAUUAUACAAUCCAAAAUGAGAUGAUCUAAAUGCCCUAAUAAUAUCAUUUAUAUCUUUUAGCACCAUCACGUGGCCAAAAUUCAAAAAUACUACAGUCGUUGGGUCGAUUAAUGUAUCCACAACCUUCUGUGGGGGAAAAGUAUAGUAAAAUGGGAUGAAUAUAAAACUCAAUGAGUGAAUAAUAACUUUUGAAAAUAAUAUAUUUUAAAAUAUUUAUAUAUUUUCAAUAUACUAUUUUCAUCAAACUAUAAGUAAGAACAUAGAUGAAUUAUUCGAACUUUAAAUCAAACAACUGUCGUUUUAAUUUUAAAGUGUGAUCGUAGUAAAUUUUUAUUUUGUUAAUUUAUUGAAUAAACUAUGUACAAUCAAUUAAGAAAAAUAAUCAAUAACUAUAACAAUGAAAGUAUUGAUUACUGCAACGACCCACCUCAAACUUUGAGGGCAAGUCUAUCUAAUUUCUUCUAACGUGAUUAGUAAAACUUAUUAAUGAGGAUUUUGCUAAAAGUUCAUCGACAGAGUCUCCCCCUAUAUUUAUAAAAUUUCUAACAUGCAAAUCUAAACACUCCCAAAAUAAUUCAAUACACAACUUGAAAUACUAACUAGGCAACCCAAGAGGGGGGGUGAAUUGAGAUUUUAUAAAUUAAGUUAAGCAAACACACAACAAUUCAAUCUAAUGCCUCAAUAAAUUCGAAAACAAUAAAUUCAAUGAAAGCACAAUAAUAAAUGAGCAAGGGAAGAGAAAGCAAACUCAAUGAUUUUUACGUGGUUCGGCAAUCCCCGCCUACGUCCACGCCUCUUAGCAUUUUCAUUUUUGAGCUCUACCAUUUUCUUUUUAAGACAUGCAUUCUUUUUACCAAUUUUCAUACACUCAUCAUGCAAUUCUUUAAAAGUAUCAUGUAAUUCAUCAUAAGUAGGAAGAUCAUUUACCUAAUCAAGUUCAUCAUUCGAUUCAUCUCCAAUUGCCAUAAGAGCUAGAUUUGUCAUUUCUUGAUGCUCUUCAUCAUCACUUGUUUCCUCCUCGCUAUCAUCCCAUGUGGCUACCAUCGCUUUCUUCUUGAGCUUGUUGAGAAGAGGGCAUUCCGAUCUUAUAUGGCCAGGUUUCUUGCACUCAUAACAUUUGAUUACUUCAUUCUUCUCCUUUUGGUUCUUGAGGUCUCUAAAUUUUCUUCGCUCACUGGAUUUCUUAAAAAAAUUUCUAAACUUCCUAGCCAGCAUAUCCAUCUCCUCCUCAUCCAGCUCGCUUUCCUCAUCACUCUCAUAUUUCGAGGCUUUGAGAGCAAUACUUUUCUUCUUCUCCUCAUUGCCUUUUUCGGCUGCCAAGUCUUCCUCAUAAGAAAUAAGAGAACCAACUAAAUCAUCAAUAGGUAAGAUAUUUAAAUCUUUGGCUUCCUCAAUGGCAGUCCUUUUUUGUCUCCAUUCCUUACAUAGCGACCUAAUAAUUUUCUUAACUUUCUCGCUAUUUGAAAAAGUCUUUCCUAUGGCUCCUAGAGUGUUCACUAUGUCCGUAAAUCUAGUAUACAUAUAAUACACACUCUCAUUUUGUUCCAUUUGGAACAAUUCAUAUUGUCGAGUGUACCUACUAAUUUUAGACUCUUUCACUUGAUUCGUGCCUUCAUAAACAACUUCAAGUUUGUGCCAAAUUUCAUUAGCACUCUCACAACUAGAUACUCUAUGAAAUUCUUUCUUAUCUAGUGCACAAAACAAGGCAUUCAUAGCUUUGGAAUUUAGAGUAGCUUUUCUCUUUUCUAAUUCAUUCCAUUCCCGUGAAGGUUUUGGAAUAUCUUCCCCGACUUCAUUUUUAGUCAAAGGCAUAAAAAGACCAUCACAAACAACUUCCCAAAUUUCAUAAUCAAGUGCUUGUAAAUAAAUUCUCAUCAUAGUUUUCCAAUACGGGUAGUCAUUUCCGUCAAAGAACGGUGGUUUAAUUGUGGACUGUCAUUCUCUAAAGGUUGAGUCAUUAUGGGUUGCCAUAGAUCUUUAACUCUAGACGGUUAAGUCUAAACAAGAGCACCUCGCUCUGAUACCAAAUGAAAUACUAACUAGGCAACCCAAGAGGGGGGUGAAUUGGGAUUUUAUAAAUUAAGCUAAAAAAACACACAACAAUCCAAUCUAAUGCCUUAAUAAAUUCGAAAACAAUAAAUUCAAUGAAAGCACAAUAAUAAAUGAGUAAGGGAAGAGAAAGCAAACUCAAUGAUUUUUACGUGGUUCGGCAAUCCCCGCCUACGUCCACGCCUCCAAGCACACCGGGUUUGAGGAUUUCACUAUUCGAGCCUUUCCAAUGCUUCAAUCGUUUACAAUUGACUUCAAGGUGUCAAUGAACCUUUAAAACAAGAGAUUAUCUCUCCAAUCUCUUCACCCCAAGUGUUUCUCACACUUGUACACUCACAAUUUGAUGAGAAAUAAAAAUUACAACAAUGAAACUCUCUUUAAGAGUGGAUAUACAAAUUGAAGAACAAAGAUGAUUUAAUAAAUGAUGAUUUACGAAAUUGAAGCUCAAUAUAUGUUGUGUGCACUUGUUUUUGCUUGCCAAGAUUACCAAAAAUGAAUUGGUUUUGAGUUUAUAUAGUUUGAGCUCAAAAACUAGUCGUUAUGCACUUUUUGGUCAUAACCGGCUUAUUGUUUAUGGAAUCCGGUUAGCCGCUUGUAUGUUACCGUUACAGCCAAAAUUUAAAUUUUUGAACAUCCAGUAUGCCGCUUAUAAAAUCCGGAUAGCCGUUUAUGCUCUAGAAGCUUACUGCCCAACAACCAUAUUACCGUUUGUCAGGAUCCGGUUAGCCGCUUUCAAUUCGGAUAGAUUCUGCCCAACAUCCGGCUUAUCGGUUUUUCACAUCCGGUUAGCCGCUUGCUACAGUGACUGCUACAGUGAACUAUUUUAUAAAAUUAUAGUUUAACCCCAAAACUUUCCAUAACUGUACUAGGGCCCAACACGUUAUAAAUUUGGCAAAUAGGUCCAAUUUCAGAAUCUCUAAAUAAUAUUUACUAUUCUCAAAACUUUUUAAAAUUAUGAUAUGGCCCAAAAUAAUAUGAAACUGUUCAAAUAAGUCCUUUUCUAAAAUUUCAAGUAAUACUUGUUGAUUUCAAAGUUUUUAAAAUUCUUUCAAUUAAACCAUAAACUUGAAAAGCAACCAAUUUCAUAAAAUCAUUUUUCUAUUAAAUAUGAAACCUUUAUAAUGAGAAAAUAAUGAUUUAUUUAAAAAGUAUAAAAAAUAAUUUGAACUUAAAAGAUUAAUCAUUCUUAAUCUUGUUUGUUAUCAUCAAAAUCAACAUUAUGGAAACAUAUAUGUUAACAAUCUCCUCAUUUUUUAUGAUGACAAACAUUUCAUGUAUUUAAAGAAUGAUUCCGCAAAUUGCUCCCCUAAAUAUAAUCUUCUCUUACAAUUUGCCAAUUAGCUAAAUUAACAGAUUUAAAUAUAUGGAUUUUUCUCCCCCUUUAUCAUUAAAAAGAAAACUUAAUUGGCAAAGAAAAAGAGUAGUAAAUUUUUAUAAAUUUAAAAAUAUGUAUUAUUCUCCCCCUUCAUCAUCAAAAAGAAAACUUAAAGGAAAAGAAUAAGAGUAGCAAAUUUAUUACUCAUGUUUGUCCAAGUAGAAAUUUCAACACAUUCUCCCCCUAACAACAAGCAUUACCUUAAAUAUAAGUUUAGUAAUAUUACUCCCAAAUUAUUAUAAAUCAUGAUACAAGCCAACUCCAUACACAAAUCAUCACACCAAAAUAUCAUGAACCAUUAUUCCAUUAAUUACCAUAUAAAACAACUAUGUAAUUAAUCAUCAUUAUCUCAAAAUCAUUAUCAUAAUCAAAUAUCAAUCAUUAAAAGAAUACUCAAAGUGUAUAUUAUUCUCCUCAUUUUAACAACAUCGAAAUGAUAUAUUACUUUGUCUCCCCCUUUGGACAAUAAAAAAGUUCAAAAUGCAUAUUAUUCAAAAUCAUAUUAUAUGAUCCCCCUAAAUAUAUGACCAAUUUAAAAUUUUAACCAAAAUAAUUUUAUCCCAAAACAUAUCAUAUUUGUCUCCCCCUAUCAAUCAUCAAAACCUCAAAUCAAGCACAUUAGUUCAAAAUUAUCCAAAACAUAAGUAAAGAACAUAACAUAUAACUAUAUCAAAUCCAUAUAAUUCAAAACAGACACAUAAUCCAAAAUCAUAGCAAACAUCCAUAUAAUCCAAAUGCAAAAUAAAAGAAAAAUAAAAUAGUAAAUGUUGGUGUGUUCAAAUACAAGUAUAAAGGAUUUGAAGUGAAAAAUGAUGAGAUUGAUGGAUUUUAGAGAGAUCUUGCGUGAGAGAGGAAGCGAUUUUUAGUGAGAGAGUAACCGAUUGACUGAAUGAAGGAGAAGAGGAUGAACAAAAUUUGAAUGCCCGAAUUUGGCUUACCGGAUUUCACUAACCGGUUAGCCAGUUGGGGUCCAGUGAGUGUACAACCUGAAUUCGGGUUUCCGGUUUACAUAACCGGUAAUUCGGUUAACUCCUGUGAUGAAUGGUCACGAAUCCGGUUAUCCGGAUAUUCCUAACAUGUUAAUCGGUUGGAGGCAGCAAGUAAGCAACGCGAAUCCGGUUUGCCGGAUCUCAUAACCAGCUAUCCGAUUGUGUCCAACAAGCAUCAAACUAAAUCCGAUUUUCCGGAUUUCAUAACCGGUUGACCGAUUCUUUCCAGAAACCAAAUUCUCUUCAAACGAGUUAUUGGUUUUCCAAUCCGGUUAUCCGAAAUAUGACUUAGAGAAUAAUCAAUAAAAAGGAUGGUUUUCCGGUUGAUUAAAAGAGGUUUAUCGGUUAAAAUAUAGAGAAUAUUUUUGAAGUUUAGUAAACUCUUAGACUUGUAUUACACACACCAAUUUAUUUUUAGCUUAAAAAUUGAUCAAUUUUUGAAUCAUUUUGAGAUUCAAAAUUUUUCAAUAAGUCAUUUAAUGCAUGAGACAUAAAUGUAUACAAGACCAAACAUAUGAAAUCGUAUCAAACAAUGAUGUCAAUUUUAUAAAUGAAUGAUGAUAUAAACACAAUUAAUGGCAUAUGAAUUCACACAUAUAUAAGAGAUGGACAAUGAUGAUAGACAAUUAAGAAGAUGAAAUCAAAGACCAUACAAUCAUCAAAAUCAAACAAAGACAUCAUGAUAAAUCACUCAAUGUUAUACACAAUGAUAAUUCCAUCAUGUAAACAUACAAGCAUACUUUCGCAAAUUCAUUUAACAUGAUUCAUUCAACAAAAUUAAUAUGGCAAGAAUUGUUACCAAAACAAUUAAAUCAUCUUGCCUCAUCUUUUUCUCCUAGAUCAUACUCAAGUGAUUAUCCUCACAAGCUUUCAUCAAGGAACUUCUCCACCAUUCCUUGAUUGUGGUACCUACAAAGAAAACAUUCACGUUGUGCCCUUUGGUACCCAAAUACUCUUGGGUCCUUGAGUGUUAGCAAUGGUUCCUUUUGGAACCCAAACACAUUUUACUCCAUAAUAUACUUUUCUUUUAAUAGGACAACCAAGCUUCAUGUGACCGUUUUGAUUACAAUAAUGACAUACAACUUGAUUGUUAAUAGAUGUACUCUUCACAAAGUAGUUCUUAUAAUACUUUUGUUUCAAAUUUGGCUUAUAACCAAGUUCUCCUUUAUCAAACACACAUUUUUGUGAAUUAAUCAAGUUAUCCAACAUCUUUUGUCCAUUUGUAAAUUUUAAAACAAUCUCAUUUAACUCAUUGCUCUUCUUCUUAAGCAUUUCAUUUUCCUUUUUCAAGUCAUCUAUGUGAUAUUCUAUAUGCUCAUGUGAAGUGCUAGGUUUCCCAUUUGAUAAUGCAACUCUAUCAUGCAAUGUUUUAUUCUCUAAUUCUAGGCAUGUAAUCUUUGCACAUAGAGAUUCAUUUUCAUUUUUGAGCUCUACCAUUUUCUUUUUAAGACAUGCAUUCUUUUUACCAAUUUUCAUCCACUCAUCAUGCAAUUCUUUAAAAGCAUCAUGUAAUUCAUCAUAAGUAGGAAAAUCAUUUACCUCAUCAAGUUCAUCAUCCGAUUCAUCUCCAAUUGCCAUAAGAGCUAGAUUUGUCAUUUCUUGAUGCUCUUCAUCAUCACUUGUUUCCUCCUCGCUAUCAUCCCAUGUGGCUACCAUCGCUUUCUUCUUGAGCUUGUUGAGAAGAGGGCAUUCCGAUCUUAUAUGGCCAGGUUUCUUGCACUCAUAACAUUUGAUUACUUCAUUCUUCUCCUUUUGGUUCUUGAGGUCUCUAAAUUUUCUUCGCUCACUAGAUUUCUUAAAAAAAUUUCUAAACUUCCUAUCCAGCAUAUCCAUCUCCUCCUCAUCCAGCUCGCUUUCCUCAUCACUCUCAUAUUUCGAGGCUUUGAGAGCAAUACUUUUCUUCUUCUCCUCAUUGCCUUUUUCGGCUGCCAAGUCUUCCUCAUAAGAAAUAAGAGAACCAACUAAAUCAUCAAUAGGUAAGAUAUUUAAAUCUUUGGCUUCCUCAAUGGCAGUCCUUUUUUGUCUCCAUUCCUUACAUAGCGACCUAAUAAUUUUCUUAACUUUCUCGCUAUUUGAAAAAGUCUUUCCUAUGGCUCCUAGAGUGUUCACUAUGUCCGUAAAUCUAGUAUACAUAUAAUACACACUCUCAUUUUGUUCCAUUUGGAACAAUUCAUAUUGUCGAGUGUACCUACUAAUUUUAGACUCUUUCACUUGAUUCGUGCCUUCAUAAACAACUUCAAGUUUGUGCCAAAUUUCAUUAGCACUCUCACAACUAGAUACUCUAUGAAAUUCUUUCUUAUCUAGUGCACAAAACAAGGCAUUCAUAGCUUUGGAAUUUAGAGUAGCUUUUCUCUUUUCUAAUUCAUUCCAUUCCCGUGAAGGUUUUGGAAUAUCUUCCCCGACUUCAUUUUUAGUCAAAGGCAUAAAAAGACCAUCACAAACAACUUCCCAAAUUUCAUAAUCAAGUGCUUGUAAAUAAAUUCUCAUCAUAGUUUUCCAAUACGGGUAGUCAUUUCCGUCAAAGAACGGUGGUUUAAUUGUGGACUGUCAUUCUCUAAAGGUUGAGUCAUUAUGGGUUGCCAUAGAUCUUUAACUCUAGACGGUUAAGUCUAAACAAGAGCACCUCGCUCUGAUACCAAAUGAAAUACUAACUAGGCAACCCAAGAGGGGGGUGAAUUGGGAUUUUAUAAAUUAAGCUAAAAAAACACACAACAAUCCAAUCUAAUGCCUUAAUAAAUUCGAAAACAAUAAAUUCAAUGAAAGCACAAUAAUAAAUGAGUAAGGGAAGAGAAAGCAAACUCAAUGAUUUUUACGUGGUUCGGCAAUCCCCGCCUACGUCCACGCCUCCAAGCACACCGGGUUUGAGGAUUUCACUAUUCGAGCCUUUCCAAUGCUUCAAUCGUUUACAAUUGACUUCAAGGUGUCAAUGAACCUUUAAAACAAGAGAUUAUCUCUCCAAUUUCUUCACCCCAAGUGUUUCUCACACUUGUACACUCACAAUUUGAUGAGAAAUAAAAAUUACAACAAUGAAACUCUCUUUAAGAGUGGAUAUACAAAUUGAAGAACAAAGAUGAUUUAAUAAAUGAUGAUUUACGAAAUUGAAGCUCAAUAUAUGUUGUGUGCACUUGUUUUUGCUUGCCAAGAUUACCAAAAAUGAAUUGGUUUUGAGUUUAUAUAGUUUGAGCUCAAAAACUAGUCGUUAUGCACUUUUUGGUCAUAACCGGCUUACUGUUUAUGAAAUCCGGUUAGCCGCUUGUAUGUUACUGUUACAACCAAAAUUUGAAUUUUUGAACAUCCGGUAUGCCGCUUAUGAAAUCCGGAUAGCCGUUUAUGCUCCAGAAGCUUACUGCCCAACAAUCGGAUUACCGUUUGUCAGGAUCCGGUUAGCCGCUUUCAAUUUGGAUAGAUUCUGCCCAACAUCCGGCUUACCGGUUUUUCACAUCCGGUUCGCCACUUGCUACAGUGACUGCUACAGUGAACUAUUUUAUAAAAUUAUAGUUUAGCCCCAAAACUUUUCAUAACUAUACUAGGGCCCAAAACGUUAUACAUUUGACAAAUAAGUCCAAUUUCAGAAUCUCUAAAUAAUACUUACUAAUCCCAAAACUUUUUUAAAAUUAUGAUAUGGCCCAAAAUGAUAUGAAACUUUUCAAAUAAGUCCUUUUCCAAAAUUUCAAGCAAUACUUGUUGAUUUCAAAGUUUUCAAAAUUCUUUCAAUUAAACCAUAAACUUGAAAAGCAACCAAUUUCAUAAAAUCAUUUUUCCACUAAAUAUGAAACCUUUAUAAUGAGAAAAUAAUAUUUAUUUAAAAAGUAUAAAAAAAUCAUUUGAGCUUAAAAGAUUAAUCAUUCUUAAUCUUGUUUGUUAUCAUCAAAAUCAACAUUAUGGAAACAUAUAUGUUAACACAACUAACUUCAUUGAUCAACCUCCUCAACCAUAAUACUGAAUAUCACCUAAACACUUCUAAAUUAUCAAAAGAUUAUAUUAGAGCUAAUGUCAACAUACAUUAAACAUUCAUAAUCAUCAAAUCAUAAUACAAUUAUACAAUCCAAAAUGAGAUGAUCUAAAUGCCCUAAUAAUAUCAUUUAUAUCUCCUAGCACCAUCACGUGGCCAAAAUUAAAAAAAAAAAAUACUACAAUCACUGGGUCGAUUGGUGUACCACAACCUUCUUCAGGGGGAAAGUAUAAUAAAAUGAAAUGAGUAUAAAACUCAAUGAGUGGAUAAUAGUUUUUGAAAAUAACAUAUUUUAAAAUAAUUAUUUCUUUUCAAUACACCAUUUUCAUCAAACUAUAAGUAAGAACAUAGAUGAAUUAUUCGGACUUUAAAUCAAACAACUGUCGUUAAAAGAAUACAUGAUAUUAUACAUAAUAUACAAGGAAAUCAUAUCAAAAUAUAAUAUAAAAUACUUGAUUAUGAAAUUGUCACUAAAUAGUACCUAAGUAAAUAAUCUUGUCAUUCUCGCACCUCUUAUCGAUGGUGAAAUGACGUACUAUCUGAGUACUAUCAUGUCCGGAGCUAGAACGAGUAGACCAAUGGCAUGCUAUCUCAUAUAUCUCAUCAUAUCUCCUUAUAUUUCAUGUAAAAAACAAUCCCUACAGGACAAAAACACCCAAGCACACAACCCAAAAUCUUUGUGUAUAUUCAGACGGGACCCAAAGAUCUCUAGCUCAAUUGUAAUCUCUACAACUGAAUCUAUAUCUCUGUAUCUGAAAAUGUAUCUAUAGGGGAGGAGUAUUGUCAAAUGAUUUUGAAAACAAACUCUUAUACACUUGUAGAUAAACAUAUAAUCAUACUUUAAACUUCAUUUCCUUUUUCAUUAACAUACUGUAAAUCUAUUUUUCUUUUCUUUAAAAUACUCUUAUGCGUUUACUCAACAUAGAGAAGCAAAAGUAAUCAUCAAAUACGCUUUAACAAUAUAUUAAUACAUAAAUAAAACUCAUUUAUAAAACCAUUAAAUCAAAACAUUAAACUCUUGUUUCAUAUGCAUGCGUUACUUUACUUAAUUUAAAAAUCAUAAUAAAUUAUAAAGAUGGGUUUAGUAUAUUCCAUUUGCAAUGAUGAUGCUCAAGCUCAACUAUUAUCGACAUCCGCAGAUUGACUCACGUUUAUGGCUCCUCUAAAUUGUGGAACGACAUAAUUACUUUUUUGAAUAUAUGAAAUACAACUAGCUUUAAGCAAGAUAGCUCUCAAUGAAUAUUUAUCCCACAAUGUACAACUCCCGAAACCAUACUUGUAAGAUAAAAAUGACCAUAAUAUACUCAAAGCCAUAAUUUACACCUUAUACCUAAAAUUCCAUACUCCUUAAAUUUUUCAUAUGUUAUAAUACUAAUAAAUCUUCCACAUUAUCAAAAAUCUCAUAAUUAACCAUAACCUACCUAAACAUGAUGCAUAACUAUAAGCUAUUUACAUACCGAAAUGAGGGAACGAUGAGGGCUACGCGUUUCUAGGUGUACAAUGCCUCAUUGGUGCCCUUGUGCAUCUAUAAUAAUCCACUAGUUACAAAACUUAGCUUCGGACAAUCUUUACCCAUUUGUUAGAAACCUUAACUAUAAAUAAAGUAUACAAAUCUUUAAAUUAACUUCAUUCCCAUGAGAUCCAACUUCGAAUAAAGAUAACAUGAUAGAAAUCUUACUUCCUUUGGUGAGAAAAACCAACUUGGAAGCUUGAAUCACUUCCUUCUCACUUAAAUCCCCUCUCUACACUUACAUUUAAAUUCCUCUUUAAUGGAUGUUUUCAAAAGAAUUUAGGGACGGAAACACUCUAGAAUAACUCUCCAUUCCAAGCUUUCCAAGAUCCAAACUCAAACUUUGAAAAAUUUCCCCAUUUUUCUCCUCUUUCCCAUUGCUCCUCUUCUCCUUUUCUUUUUUGCCUUUUUUUUUUCAAAUCAAUACAUAUAAAAUCCAAUGGAGACUAACGGGCUUUCAAGUAAGGGUGGAUGUUCAAAUUGGUAUUUGUUUUAUUCUUUAUUAAUCUGGCCUGGAUUUGAGAUUUUGGAACUAUAAGUGGCUGGUUACUGGGAAAUUUUUGAAAAUGAAAUUGUUGUAACCUAAAUUGGACCCAAACUGAAAUUGAGACCUAAAUUUUCAAACCGAACCAAUCCAAAGUUUGAUCCCAAAUAGAACCGAGUCGAACUAAAUUCGGUUCGGUUCUGUUUGGGUUCAUGUUUUGAACCUAAUUGGGUUGAAUACUCUAACCAGAUCAGGUUGUAACCUAACUGGAACUCGAACAACCCGAAUCGAAACCCGAUAUGCCCACCCCUAUUUUAAAGCCUACAGACCAAUGGAAGAAAUGGAAAGAAAAAAUAUGUUACAGUUAUUAACUUGAUUCUUGGGCAUUAUAAUCUCAAUAUUUAACAUGAUUUUGUUUCUCAUAUUAGUUUCUAUCUUCUGCGUUGAGACCUAGAGUCUUAUUUAUGUUGGCAUCUUGUAAGGGUUGGCAUUCUUAUUGAAUUGUAAUUCAUAAAUUGAAGGCUAUGUUAAUUGGGAGAUUUCUUAAUUUAGUUAUUUUCUUAAAAUUAGGAUUUAAGUCUUUUCAUUUUAAGGAUUUACUUAGAACACAAAGAGUCUAAUUUUGGAAGCAAAUCAAAAUUAAAAAAAAAAAAAAAAGGCUCUCUAUAACUUGUUAUAGAAGUUAUACAUUGAAGAUAGCUCAUCACAAGCAGAAAAAUAGAAUUUUAAGGUCGAUUGCUAUAAAUAGUAUUAGAUGAACAAUAUUAGUUAAUAGUGUCUAUUGAAACUAUUCAUUGAACUUUAAUCUUUAUAGGGUAAACGCUUAUUUAGUCCCUAUAUUUUCACUCAAAUAUAUGUUUAGUCUCACAUUAUAAAAUAUAUCUCAAAAUACUCAUAUAGUUAAAUAUGUUACACUCUUAACCUUUUUUAGUUUUAUGAUAACACCCUUCAAACAACAUUCUUGACAUGAAUUAAGGUAUCUAUAAAAAAAAGUUAAUUAGCAUCUUAACCAAUAAUUAAUUAUUAGCAAAUUAAUUAACAAAUACCACUGUGAAAGAACUAAUAUUUUUGUACUAUUGCAAGAAUCUUACUAAUAAUUAUUUAUAAAUAAAUUAAUAUUAGCCAACUUAAAACAAUGUUUAUUAAUAUCUUUACAACAAUUUUAAUAAUAAUUUUUUUAUAAAAAUUAAUUUACUAAAUUAAUUCUAAAAGUAAAAUAAUAAUAUAAAAGUUUGGAUAAAUUUUUAUGUUACUUUAAAGAUAAAUUUUGGUAAAUUAACAAUUUUUAUUGAUAUCCCAAGAAUAUUGUUGCAAGAGUGUUAUCAUAAAAAGAAAAAAAUUAAGGGUAACAAAUUAAGGGUAGGAAUGAAACAUAUUUGACCUCAUGGGUGUCUUGAGAUGUGUCUCUCUGUGUGUAACACUUAAAUCAAAAUAUAGGGAUUAAAUAAGUAUUUACCUAUUUUAUAUUCAUCCCACUCUUAGACAUACUUUUGGUGUGUUUCGGAUUGAGGUUGAGCAGCUGUAGCUUUUAAGCUACAACACUAAAGUGUUUGGUAAACACUAGCUGAUGUACCUUGAAAGUUAUGUUAAUAUGAUUUUUCACUUGUAUAAUAAAAAAUCUAUUAUAUCUUUAAUGAUUUUUUCAAAAUUAUUAUUUAAAAUUUAUAUUUACUAUAUAUUAUUGAUUUUUGUUUUAUAGUUACAGUUUUGUUUCCAUAGCAGUUGUAGCUUAAAAGUUAUAGCACCUCAAUCUCAAACAGGACCUUUGUUAAUUGGUCUCUCUUCGUUAAUUGGUCUCUUCCAAAAAAGAUGUUGUUUGGAGCAGUUAAGGAAUUUCAUAUCAAGGUUAUGAACAAGAAGACAAAUGGUUCUCGCAAAUUACAUAUGCCUUAGUUGACUGAGAUGGCGGCAAAAGUAAAUUUUCCUACAUAUUAAAAUACUAAAUGUGAUAUAAGAACCAACUAUAAGCAAGUUAAAUUGAUGAUUUGGUAUAAUUACAAUAAUUAUUAUUUUUAAUUGAUCUGUGGGUUGAAAUGACUAUAUAAUCAUUCUUAAGUGCGAGCAUCCAUUUUUUUUUGGGAAAAUGACAAACACACCCCCAACGUUUAGGCAAAGGGAUAAAAAACCUCCUAACGUUUUAAAAAAGACAUUUACACCCCAACUUAUUAUAAUUUUACCAUUAUACCCUUCUAGCAUAUAAAAAAAAUUAUUAGAUUAUCUAAUUUGUCUAUAUAUUGUUAAUAAAAUUAUAAAUAGAAAAAUUGGAUAUUAUUAAAAAAAUUAUAAAUAUACCCUCAUUGCCCAAAUCUUCUAUUUAAAUUUUUAUCAAUAACCAAUUUUCAAAAAAGACAUCUAUACACCUAAAAAAUUAUAAAUAAAUUAUAAUUUUAAAAAUAAAAUUGGUUAUUAAUAACCAAUUUUAUUUAAAAUUUAAACUUUUAUAUUUAACAAUUCUCCACAUGUCAAUCAUUUAAACCUGUACAUUUAUAACCAAUUUUCUAUGUUAUUUAUUAUGGUAUUAAUAACCAAUUUUAUUUUUAAAAUUAUAAUUUAUUUACAAUUUUUUUUAAGUGUGUAGAUGUCUUUUUUGAAAAUUGAUUAUUGAUAAAAAUUUAAAUAGAGGAAUGAUGCAAUGAGGGUAUAUUUAUAAUUUUAUUAACAAUAUAUAGACAAAUUGGAUAAUCUAAUAAUUUUUUUUAUAUGUUAGAAGGGUAUAAUGGUAAAAUUAUAAUAAAUUGGGGGUGUAAAUAUCUUUUUCAAAACGUUAGGGGGGCUUUUGUCCCUUUGCCUAAACGUUGGGAGUGUGUUUGUCCUUUUUCCUUUUUUUUUUUUAAUACGGAUACACUCUUAAACUGUAUAAUUAAAAAAGAUACGUUUUGAAAUAAAUUACAAUAUUGUACUGUUUAAAAGAAUUAAAAACUAACUCUCUUUAAUUUCACAACUUAAAAACGUAGCCAAAAGGAAAUUUUAGGGUGGCGGCAUUGAAAAAAAACACAUAUAUUGCUUAUCAAAUCUAAGAUUAAAAUUCGGAAUUAAAAUUUGAGACGGAUAUAAAAUAUCGUAUAAGUAAUUUAGGAUGCCAUAAAUUCAUACUGGUGUCUAGUUCUAAACUUUAUCUCCAGAUUUCAAACAUUCAUCGCUUUGUGGCCCCUAUUUUCUUUGUUUUUCUAACUUUCUUCCGGUGGCGGAGCCCACCAUUGGAAGAAGUUAAUUUUUUUUUUGACAUUUUUUUCAUUGUCUAGCCCACCACCUUGUUUGACUCUUCUCUGGAAAAAGUUACUUUUUUGGGUUUUUCAAUAUGCUAUAAUUUUUUUACAGCAUCAAUAAUAUUUUUAAUUGUGUAUCAUUAAAUUUAAUUAAUGAUAUAUUUAAUCAAUGGUAUAUAAUAUUUGUAGUAAAAAAAAAUAAUAAACGGUUAUUAAAUGUGUAAGGGGUGGAGAAUUUUAUAAAAUAACUAUGACCAUCCUUAGAGUUUGAAAUAAUUUCACUUAAAUAGCAUAUUUUAUUUAAAAUUAUUUUUCAAUCCUCCUUUAAAUUUGAAUUGUGAUAAUCUUUUUUAAAUAAAUCUUCCAAAAUCUAUUACCAUGAAGUAUAAAAUAUAAUGGUAGGUUAUUUAACACAAAUCAAAUAAAUAAGUUGCAAUUAUAAAAUUUAUAUAUGAUAUAAUAGUAAUAAAUAACACAACUAAGUACAUAUACUUAAGUAAAUGCAUAGUUACAUCAAUAAACUCAUUGUUGAGAUUGCUUGUAACAUAAAAAUUACUUGAUCACACAUGUUUUAAUAAAAUUUAAUAUCGUAUAUUAAAAUACUUAUUAUUUUAUAUAAUAUUAAGGGUCAUUGUAUAAUUAAUCAUGAAGUGUGUAUUAUUUUUAACACCCAUUUAACAUGCUUAUUCUCUGAACUUUAUAUUUAUCUUACAAUUAAUAUCCUUACAUGGUAGGAAUUUUAAGUUUUAUAAGCCUAUAUAUUUUCAUUUUAUUUUCAAAUAUCACUUUGUUAAUUUCAUAAAAGUUAAAUCUAAUAUAUAUUCCUAAUGAGCUUUAGUUUAUGAAUCGUGAAAGAUUAUUUUAUUGAUAUCAUUUGAUUGUAAUUAUAAAAUUUUAUGUUAUUAAGAGUCAUUACUUUUGUUAUGAUAAUUAAUUGUGACUAUAAAUAAAAUAUUGUCUCCAAUAAUAUUUACGCAGGAAAAAAAGUGAACGAAAAUCAUUUGUAUUUUUAGAUUUUUAUUGACAUGGUAGGAAAUUAUCUCAGCCUUAAAACAUUUAACUUUCACAAGCUUGUUUUCAUUUUAUUUUCAAAUGUCACUUUGUUAAUUUCAUAAAAAUUAAAUCUAACACAUAUUCCUAAUUAACUUUAGUUUAUGAAUUAUAAAAAAUUAUUUUAUUGUUAUUCUUUGAUAGUAAUUAUAAAAUUUUUAUGCUACGAAGAGUCAUUACUUUUAUUAUGAUAAUUAAUAGUGACAAUAAAUAAAAUAUUACAUCAAAUAAUAUUUAAUGGACAAAAUGAGGAAAAAAAAUCAUUGUAUAUUUUUAUAUUUCCAUUAUAAAGAUAUGGUUUGGGAUACUUUAACUUAAACUUUUGGCACACUAGUUGAGCAACUAAUAUCUCAUAAUCUAAUGGUUGAUAUUGAAAGUCAAAGCAACAUUUCAUAAUAUUAUAUCUUCCACCAUUGAAUUGCAUGAAAUAAAUAGUUUAAUUUUUUGAUAAAAAUUAAAAUCAAAAUAUUUCUCACUCUAUAGUUAUAUAGACAUAUAUAUUUUUCAAUAAUAAUUGGUGAAUAAAAUAUUUCUCAUUUGUUGUGACUCAUAUAGUAUUAUUAAUAAAACACAUAUAAAAUUGUUUAUUGCAAUGCUUUCUAUUAUCAUUAUUAUUUAGGUAUUAAUGGUUUGUAAUUAAAUUCAUACAAUACAAAUUAUUACAAGACUUUGUGUUAAAUAACCUACUUGAUAUUAUAUUUUAUACUUAAAGGUAACUGAUUUUGGAAGAUUUAUUUAAAAGAGAUUAUCAUAUUACAAAUUUAAAGGAGGGCUGAAAAGUAAUUUUAAAUAAAAUAUACUAUUUAAGUGAAAUUAUAUCAAACUCUAAGGGUAGUCACAAUUAUUUUACAAAAAUUAUCCACCUACUUGAACGGUUACCAUUAUUUUUUAGUACAAAUAUUAUAUACCAUUGAUUAGAUCUAAUGGUUCACAAUUAAUAAAUUAUUGAUGCUGUAAAAAAAUUUACAGCAUCAUAGAGGAACCCUGCUUUUCUAUAUUUUUUUCAAUGUCGAACCUGCCGAGCCCACCAACAUGUUCUCAUUUUUUUUUUUUUUUGGCAAACCCUUACAUACAUUUAAUGUAUCUUACACCAAACAAUGAAUGGACGCCACACCACUCACUGUGUGAGUGGUUAUAAUAUAUAUUAAGGCCAUGUUUGCUUGGGGGUUGAGAAGUGAGGAGAGGAAAAGAAUUUAAUUUUUUUUAUAUUUUCCAUUGUUUUGUUGGACUAAAUUUAAUGGAAUUGAAUUUUCAUUGAAAUUUAAUUUCCAUCAAUUUGAAGAAUUUGUAUUCCUUAUCAAUGACUAAGGAUAUCAAAUUUCUUAUCUAUUUAAACACAAAAAAUCUAAUAUUAUCCUCUAAACAAAAUCAAUUUUAAAUAAAUGAAAGUAUAAAUAAUUUAUAUUUAUUUUAUUAAAUUAAUAGGAUAAAUUUAUUUGAUAAAAGAAAAAACAGUAAAGUGACUCACCGGAAAGUCACCGAAGACACGCUGGAGUUUCGCCGAAGACGCGUUUUUCCAUCAAAACCGGUACCAAUAGAAUUCUCAUGAGCCGAUCUACAACUUUAUGGGGUUAGAAAUGCUAAUAUACAUUGUUAUUUACCUCAAGUCUUGUUUAAAUACUUGAGAAAAUUUUAACUCAACUAUAUAGUGUAUUUUCUUCAAAAUUAACAUUUCCAAUGAGUAAAUCGUCCAUUUUUUUUAUCAUUAUUAUGUAUUUAACACGAUGAAAAAUGGUAGUCAACUAUGGUCAACGGCGCCGGUCAAUGACGAUCAACAGAGGUCAAUGCGGCAGCUGUUCAUGCCCAAAUGCUGUAAUUUUUUAAAAUAAAUUUUUUUAUUUAAUUAAGUAAUUUUUAGAUUAAAUUAAUUCAUAGUUUAAUUAUGUUUUAAUUUAUUAACAAUAUUAACAUUAAAGAUAGUGGGUAUAUUUGUCCAAAUAAGAAAUAUGUAAUUUCUUUUUCUUUCAAAUUUUAUGUGAAACCAAAUAAUAACAAUUAAUUUUUGCACUCUUUUCCUCUUAUCUCAUCUCUAUUCCUCACAUUUUUUCUCCUUUCGUCUCCUCCCCUUUUUUAAAACAACACCACAUAAAUGUAUGUUAGAGGAAUCUUUUUUAUUUUAUUCAGCCUUUGAUUUCCUUUCAUCGGUGGGGUAGGUACUUUUAAAAAGAAAAUUAUACUUUAAAAAUAUUUUCAACAUUUAUUUUUAAUUAAAUAUUAUAUUAUCAAAUUACUCUUUAUGAAAUUUACCGUUAUAGACAAUCAAAAUUACUAGAUAAAAUUUUAUAAUUGUGUCAAAAAAAAUCGUUUUUUAAUUUUUUUUCAUUUUAAUUUUCUCCUCGACUUCACUGGUAAAUAUUUACUCUAAAAAAGGGUGGCUGUUAAAACAAAAAUAAAUAAAUAAUUGGGCAUUGGUUUGGAUAAGAUGGACAACAUUUAUUGGGACUCUAUAUCAUUGGGCGGUAGAACUUGGAGGUUGGACCGUUGCACUUUUAAUAAAUUAAUCUGUAAGCAGUUUUUUUUUUUUUAUUGGCUGAUAUAUAACAAUCAGAGCUCUACUAAUAUAAUCAGACGUCAAUCGGGUACUCUUCUCAAUAAUCAUAUUGUAGCACAGCUCGAAUAUCGACUCAUCGUUUAAAGCUGAAGGGAGAUCUACCAUCACUAUUAAUACCGGAGGGGAAUCAAUUCUACCCCAGUGUGGGGAGAAAAAAACAACGUCCAAGUUCUCAAUAAUUUUAGUGGGAACAAAAGUUCAGUUCAUGACCAUGAAAUUAAUCGGAGUUGUUCCGAUGGUUACCGCAAGAGUGUUGACGUUUGAAGAAAGAGAGCUUGGGCAAAAUAAAUUAAUUUUAGGGUAACUUUGGGAUUUUGAUGAGCGUGUAUAGUAAAAAAUUAUAUUUUAAAUUUGACAGUGUAUUGAGUAAAUGAGUGUCUAAAAUAAUAUUUAGAGUAUAAAUAAUCUCACCUAAAAAAAUUAUUUACUUUAAUAAAGACACAAUAAUUUACGUGAUUCGACUUAAAAUCUACAUUUACGAGCAAAAGCUAAAAAUAACUUCAUUAAUAAAUAAAAAUUUACCAAAUUAAGAAAAAAUACCCUCAAAACUCAAAAUCCCAAUAUACCCAAUUAAACCAUUAGUAGAACACUCAAAUAAAAACACUAUUCAAUUUCUCAAAUUACUUCCCUUAUAAUUACUUUCAACUUUCACACUUUAGGAUGAUCUUUAAAUGACAAACUGCCCCUCUGUCUAUGCCUCUAUGGGAGUGCGUGGCUCAACUAUCUCUCAAUUUUGGUAACUUGUCUAGUCCACCGAAUUCGGAACCCAAUCUUGUGCCGCCAUUUCUUAACAAGCUCUCCAAAUGCAUUAAAGUGUCAAGUAUUUCAAUAACCAACUCUCUACAUUUGUUGGCAAUUUUCAAUGUAUUUAAUUCACUUUUUUUGACUUUUCAACACACAGGAUGUGGAGAAAAAUAAUUAUGUUUUCGUUCUAUUUUUUUCAAUAGUUAGUAUGAUAAUCAGCCAAAUAUAUACAACAUACCAUUCUAUAACUCUGAUACUUUGUAAUAUAUACCAAUCAAGCCCCAAGUCUAAGACUGUCUCAUAAAACUAUUAAAAAAUUUGAACCUAAUACUUCAACGCAUCACUAAAAUGUUUUUUAAAUUAGAUUUUAUUACUUUUUAACGAGUCAUAUCAAUCAAUAAAUUUUAAAAGACUUUUUAAGUGAGUUUUUUUUUUUUUAUUGAAGAGAGAGAAAAGUGCUAUCUCAUUUGAAGGGUUUUUUAAAAUCUUAAAUUUAUUCUACUGUUUCUCAUAAUUUCAUGAAGAGAAAGAAGUAUCAUAUUUGCUAUUGUUUUUGUAGAGAAAUUUUUUGAUUAAAAUAAUAUAUUUAUACUUUUAUUUAAAGAAUCUUUUAAUUUUUUUCCACUCUUUCAUUUACAAUAUAUAGUAAAUAAAUAUUUAAAAAAAUUAAAUUUAGAAGAAUAUUUUAGUGAUCUUCUUAGAUCUACUUAGUGUCUGUUUGGUAUAAUUUAUGUAAUGCUCAUAAGUAUUUAUUUAGUCUCAUAAAUUCUUAUCAUAAUUUUUAUUACUAUUUAUUUUUUUUAGAGAUUUUAUAGUUUAAAUAAGUUAUUUUAUUUCUACUAGUAAAAUCUCAAAUUAGGAGUAGAGAUUGAAAUUUUUUUAAAUAUUAAAAUAUUCUCUACUAAUUUGACUUUUUUUCAUAACAUAACUUUAAAAACUUACCUAUUAAAAUAAUUUCAUAAAUUUUUAAUAAAAAUUCUUAUUAACAAUCAACAACAAAAAUUUUUUAAGUAAAAAUUUUGUUAUCAAAAACUUUAUUUAAAUAAAUUUUAUUUAAAAAAUUAUAUUAAACGGAGCCUUACCCUCGCGAAUCGCGAUACCAUAACUAUUUUGAAGAAAUCGAAGAAUGGAAAGAAUUAAAAAGGCAAAACCGCGUUGUAAAGGAGGACGUGGAUCAACGUACCGAGGCCACUAAUGACAAAUAGCUACACCUUUUGAAGUAGACUCCCAACGUCUACCUAACCUAAACGGGUACAGAGACCUUUUGUUUUUUUUUUACAAUAGGUACAGUUACGUAUGACUGAAGAAAUAAAAAUAAUAAUAAAAAGCAUAGGGUAGAAGAAAACAAAGCUACCCAUUGGCUUCGUGUUGCAACUCUGCAACAGAAUGUCAAAUCGACAAUGAAAUUUCUUUGUCCAUUUUUCACGUGCACAACCAUAAAAAAGAAAAAAAAAUAUCAAAAUUAUAUGCAUAUGCUGGUGGGUCCCUUUUCAAAUUUGACAAGAGGAUUUUAAUUUCUUGUGAAAUUUGUGUUACUUCAAAUCAUUUUAUAGAAAUUAGGGAUGGCAAUGGGGAGGGGAGGGGAGAGGACCAAUCUCCCCGUAUCCAUCUCUGAUAUUUUGCGUAUCUCUCCGUCUCCUCCCCAUCCCCAUCAUAAUUACUUGAGAGAAUCUCAUUCUCCUCCCCGAAUAAUAACAUGGGGAUUCCCGAGGGUCCCCGAUCUCCGAAUAACUAAUACAUAUUUUUUAUUUUUUAUUUUUAGUUAAUUCUAUUAAAAUAAAAAAUUCAAACAAAAGUAAAGUUCGAAAUAUAUUUUACAUUAACAUUGAUUCAUUAUAAAAGUCACAUGCAAAAUACAAAUUAUCAAAAUAAUUAUCUUUAUCAAUCUUCAUAAUCCUACAAUAAAAAGAAAAAGAAUUUACUUUUAUAUCAACAAUAAAAUAAAUGAAAUAAAUGUAGAUACUUAAUUAAUAUUUUUAAUAAAACAAAAUUAAAAUUAAAACAAAAUUUUUGGGCUAAUAGAAUCUAAAACUUUAAUUAGUUAAUUAGGCCUAAAAGUUGAAUAAUAUAAAUAUUUUAAUAUUUGUUACUUUUACCAAUAUUUAUAAUUUUAUAAUAUAAUUCAAAUUUUAUUAUUUAUUUACUAGUAAUUUUAAAAAAUAAAAUAAAAUUAAAAAUUAAAAGAGGGAAAUGGGGAGGGGAUGGGGAUUCCACUUCAUCCCCACCCGUUCCCCGAAUAAGAAACUUGGUAAAAAAAAUUCCCCAUCCCUUCCCCGUAUAAGAAAUUGGGUAUAGAAUUAUCCACGUACCCUCCCCAAAUGGAAAAAAUCCCCGAGAGUACCCGCCUCCGUGGGGAUUUUUACCAUCCCUAAAAUUCCAUUGGCUUCGUGUUGCAACUCUGCAAUAGAAUGUCAAAUCGAGAUUGAAAUUUCUUUGUCCAUUUUUCACAUGCACAACCAUAAAAAAGAAAAAAAAAAUAUCACAAUUGUAUGUAUAUGCAGGUGGGUCCCUUUUCAAAUUUGACAAGAGGAUUUUAAUUUCUUGUGGAAUGUGUUACUUCAAAUCAUUUUAUAGAAAUUAGGGAUGGCAAUGGGGAGGGGAGGGGAGGGGACCAAUCUCCCCGUACUCAUCCCCGAUAUUUUACGUAUGUCCCCGUCCCCUCCCCAUCCCCGUCAUAAUUACUUGAGAGAAUCUUCAUCCCCUCUCCAAAUAAUAACAGGGGAUCCCCGAGGGUCCCCGAUCUCCGAAUAAUUAAUAUAUAUAUAUAUAUUAUUUUUUAUUUUGAGUUAAUUAUAUUAAAAUAAAAAAUUCAAACAAAAGUAAAGUUCGAAAUAUAUUUUACAUUAACAUUGAUCCAUUAUAAAAGUCACAUGCAAAAUACAAAUUAUCAAAAUAAUUAUCUUUGUCAAUCAUCAUAAUCCUACAAUAAAAAGAAAAAGAAUUUACUUUUUUAUCGACAAUAAAAUAAAUGAAAUAAAUGUAGAUACUUAAUUAAUAUUUUUAAUAAAACAAAAUUAAAAUUAAAACAAAAUUUUUAGACUAAUAGAAUCUACCCGACCUUUUUAAUGUCCUAAAUAAAAAUUUAAGACUUUAAUUAGUUAAUUAGGCCUAGAAGUUUAAUAAUAUAAAUAUUUUAAUAUUUGUUACUUUACCAAUAUUUAUAAUUUUAUAAUAUAAUUCAAAUUUUAUUAUUUAUUUACUAGUAAUUUUAAAAAAAUAAAAAUUAAAUUAAAUUUUAAAAUAAAAAUUAAAAUGGGGAAAUGAGGAGGGGAUGGGGAUUCCACCUCAUCCCCGCCCCUUCCCCGAAUAAGAAAUUGGGUAUAGAAUUAUCCCCGUACCCACCCCGAAUGGGAAAAAUCCCCGAGAGUACCCAUCCCCUAAUGGGAAAUUGGGUAUAGAAUUUAUUCUACUUUUUCUCAUAAUUUCAUGAAGAGAAAGAAGUAUCAUAUUUGCUAUUGUUUUUGUAGAGAAAUUUUUUUGAUUAAAAUAAUAUAUUUAUACUUUUAUUUAAAGAAUCUUUUAAUUUUUUUUCCACUCUUUCAUUUACAAUAUAUAAAAGUAAAUAAAUAUUUAAAGAAUUAAAUUUAGAAGAAUAUUUUAGUGAUCCUCUUAGAUUUACUUAGUGUCUGUUUGGUAUAAUUUAUGUAAUGCUCAUAAGUAUUUAUUUAGUCUCAUAAAUUCUUAUCAUAAUUUUUGUUACUGUUUAUUUUUUUUAGAGAUUUUACAGUUUAAAUAAGUUAUUUUAUUUCUACUAGUAAAAUCUCAAAUUAGGCGUAGAGAUUGAAUUUUUUUUUUAAAUAUUAAAAUAUCUAAAAUAUUCUCUACUUAUUUGAUAUUCUUUUCAUAACAUAACUUUAAAAACUUACCUAUUAAAAUAAUUUCAUAAAUUUUUAAUAAAUUUUUUUAUUAACAAUCAACAACAAAAAUUUUUUUAAAUAAAAAUUUUAUUUAUAAAAAUUUUGUUAUCGAAAACUUUAUUUAAAUAAAUUUUAUUUAAAAAAUUAUAUUAAACGGAGCCUUACCUCGCGAAUCGCGAUACCACAAUUAUUUUGAAGAAAUCGAAGAAUGGAAAGAAUUGAAAAGGCAAAACCGUGUUGUAAAAGAGGACGUGGAUCAACGUACCGAGGCCACUAAUGACAAAUAGCUACACCUUUUGAAGUAGACUCCCAGCGUCUACCUAACCUAAACGGGUACAGAGACCUUUUGUUUUUUUUUUUUUACAAUAGGUACAGUUACGUAUGACUGAAGAAAUAAAAAAAAAAAAAAUGAAAAGCAUAGGGUAGAAGAAAACAAAGCUACCCAUUGGCUUCGUGUUGCAACUCUGCAACAGAAUGUCAAAUCGACAAUGAAAUUUCUUUGUCCAUUUUUCACAUGCACAGCCAUAAAAAAGAAAAAAAUAUAUCACAAUUGUAUGUAUAUGUUGGUGGGUCCCUUUUCAAUUUUGACAAGAGGAUUUUAAUUUUUUGUGAAAUUUGUAUUACUUCAAAUCAUUUUAUAGAAAUUAGGGAUGGCAAUGGGGAGGGGAGGGGAGGGGAGGGGACCAAUCUCUCCGUAUCUAUCCCUGAUUUUUUUCGUAUGUCACCGUCCCCUCCCCAUCCUCAUCAUAAUUACUUGAGAGAAUCUCCUUUCUCUUCCCGAAUAAUAACAUAGGGAUUCCCGAGGGUCCCCGAUCCCCGAUCCCCGAAUAACUAAUACAUAUUUUUUAUUUUUUAUUUUUAGUUAAUUCUAUUAAAAUAAAAAAUUCAAACAAAAGUAAAGUUCGAAAUAUAUUUUACAUUAACAUUGAUCCAUUAUAAAAGUCACAUGCAAAAUACAAAUUAUCAAAAUAAUUAUUUUUGUCAAUCUUCAUAAUCCUACAAUAAAAAGAAAAAGAAUUUACUUUUAUAUCGACAAUAAAAUAAAUGAAAUAAAUGUAGAUACUUAAUUAAUAUUUUUAAUAAAAUAAAAUUAAUAUUAAAACAAAAUUUUUGGGCUAAUAGAAUCUAUCCGACCUUUUUAAUGUCUUAAAUAAAACUUUAGGACUUUAAUUAGUUAAUUAGGCCUAGAAGUUUAAUAAUAUAAAUAUUUUAAUAUUUGUUACUUUUACCAAUAGUUAUAAUUUUAUAAUAUAAUUCAAAUUUUAUUAUUUAUUUACUAGUAAUUUUAAAAAAUAAAAAUAAAAUUAAAAAUUAAAAUGGGGAAAUGAGGAGGGGAUGGGGAUUCCACCUCAUCCCCGCUCCUUCCCCGAAUAAGAAAUUGGGUAAAAAAAUUUUCACAUCCCUUCCCCGAAUAAGAAAUUGGGUAUAGAAUUAUCCUCGUACUCUCCCCGAAUGGAAAAAAUUCCCGAGAGUACCCGUCACCGAAUAAGAAAUUGAGUAUAGAAUUUAUUCUACUUUUUCUCAUAAUUUCAUGAAGAGAAAGAAGUAUCAUAUUUGCUAUUAUUUUUGUCGAGAAAUUUUUUUUGAUUAAAAUAAUAUAUUUAUACUUUUAUUUAAAGAAUCUUUUAAUUUUUUUCCACUCUUUCAUUUACAAUAUAUAAAAGUAAAUAAAUAUUUAAAGAAUUAAAUUUAGAAGAAUAUUUUAGUGAUCCUCUUAGAUUUACUUAGUGUCUGUUUGGUAUAAUUUAUGUAAUUUUCAUAAGUAUUUAUUUAAUUUCAUAAAUUCUUAUCAUAAUUUUUGUUACUGUUUAUUUUUUUUAGAGAUUUUACAGUUUAAAUAAGUUAUUUUAUUUCUACUAGUAAAAUCUCAAAUUAGGAGUAGAGAUUGAAUUUUUUUUAAAUAUUAAAAUAUCUAAAAUAUUCCGUACUUAUUUGACAUUCUUUUCAUAACAUAACUUUAAAAAUUUACCGAUUAAAAUAAUUUUAUAAAUUUUUAAUAAAUUUUUUUAUUAACAAUCAACAACUAAAAUUUUUUAAGUAAAAAUUUUAUUUAUAAAAAUUUUGUUAUCGAAAACUUUAUUUAAAUAAAUUUUAUUUAAAAAAUUAUAUUAAACGGAGUCUUACCUCGCGAAUCGUGAUACCACAACUAUUUUGAAGAAAUCGAAGAAUGGAAAGAAUUGAAAAGGCAAAACCGCAUUGUAAAAGAGGACGUGGAUCAACGUACCGAGGCCACUAAUGACAAAUAACUACACAUUUUGAAGUAGACUCUCAGUAUCUACCUAACCUAAACAGGUACAAAAAUCUUUUAUUUUUUUGAUCUCACUACGUUACGUUUAACAUAACAUACAUUCACACACAACAACAAUUUUCAUAAUAAGAUCCAUAACUAUUACUAUAUGUGACAAUUAUUACUAUGUGUGACGUAGCCUUAUUUUUUUUAACAAUAGGUGCAGAUACGUACGAAUGCAUUAAUUAAUGAAAAGCAGAGGGUAGAAGAAAACAAAGCUACGUCGGCAGACACGUUGCAGUAGGGAUUCUGGAAUGCAUUAAUUAAGGGGCCUUAAGUAUUCAAUAGUCAAAGAAAUGAGAAGGCAGAGCGUAGAAGAAAACAAAGCCACGUCGCCAGACACGUUGCUGAAGGGAUUAUGGAAUGCAUUAAUUAAGGGGUCUUAAAUAUUAAGUAGUGACAUCCUUUUUGUGUUUUUCCAUAAGAAGAUGCUGGAAUGCAUUAAUUAAGAGGCCCACUGUGAUUAAUUCAUAACUACUAGUAAUUUGUUUGUAUUCGAGUUGCUCCUUUGUAUAACUAGACGUGAAAAUGAGUGAUUGGUGGGGCGGUGGAGUCGAGGGUGCUAAGAGCAACAAAAACAAAUUCUGAAGCAAUUGUUCUGACUCUUGAGUGCUUAUAUUUAUUUCAUUAAUCUCGGAAGAUAUGGCGUCUCAUAAGGUGCCUGGUAAUCGCAAAUUGAUAGGUUCUAAAUCAGAAUACUAUUUUAUGCUUUAUGCAGGUACUGAAGAAGUGAAGAGCUACGACCGGAUUGAUUUUGGUAUGUUUGGUCGGAGUUGGGCUCCCAUUGUUUCUUGGGCCGUGAUAGUUGUUCCCCACGAGCCGGAGAGUAAUUGGAGAAAAAAUUUACCUCCUCCAAGUGUCAAUAAUAUGGACCCCGCUAGCUCGCUUUGUGUUAUUACAUCUGGUUCUUCUAAUGGUUAUAAGCCUAUAGGUGAUGAUAAAAAGGAUCGUCCUUUUCAUGGCGUUAGAACUACAGUUCCAUUGAACAAAUUGAAAUAUGAUCGUGAAGUGUUGCGCGGAGGUUCUCUUGUUUUGGAGAUUAAUCUUUUAGAGGUUUUUCACGGAGGAGAUGUUGUGGAUUCUGAUCAUACUUUUGAUGGUCAAGUGUUUUGGAACUUGUACUCGAAUUGAAUAUUGUACGGUGAGAUAAGUUGAUGUGUGUAUUAAUGGUAUUAUCUAAUAUAAACAUAGGAUUGGACAUAUAGUUGUGUCAAUGUAUUGUGUAAUUUAACUACCUCUAGAUAAUAUUAUCGUUUGUGUAAUGAUUGUAAUUGAUGUUUUGUUGGAGGAUCCUUUAGUAUGCUUAUAAAAAGGAUUCAAGUGUGUUGUAACGAGCAGAGCUCUUCUAAGUCUAGUCCAUAAAUAAAUAAAAGAGUUGACUAUAAUGUAAUAUUGUGGGGUCUUCUACUGUGUCUAUAAAAGGAUCCAAGUGUGUUGUAAUAUGAGUAGAGAUUCAUGAAUUUAGUCUAUAAAUAAAUUAAACAAGUGUUUUAUAUAGUCCUUUUAUGAACAUGUAUGGUCUCAUUUCCUUCAUAAAGCAAUGUAUAGCCGUUGUGACAAAAUCUUAUUACUCAAGUUUACUCAUGAAUCCUUUACACAAAUGUUACAAAUGUAUAAUAACAAAAUUGAAAAGUCAUUUUCACACGUUACAAAUAUAUACUAACAAAAUUGAAAUAACAUUAUUACAAAUUAGAACAAUAUGUAAUAACAAAAAAUAAAUAAAUAAACUCGAGGCUUGUAAAGUUAAUAGUUUAUUUAAAAAAAAUUAGAACAAUAUGUUUUAUAUAUUACUGGUGAAGAUGAAGAAGAGAUUCGAAUAACAAGAAAUAACUUAUUAGUUCGCUUCUAGAUGAAAAAGCUUGGUUAGCUUAAGCACUUCCUUGGUCUAGAAGUUAUCGAAUAGAAGAAGGGAUAUUUCUUUACCAACAAAAUUAUGCCAAAGACUUGCUGAAGAAGUUUGAAAUGAUGGAAUGAAAACUAAUCUCAACUCCAUUGGAAGUAAAUGCAAAAUUGUGCACACACGAAGGCAGAGAUUUACAAUAUAGAACAAUGUAUCAACAAUUGGUAGGUAGUUUAAUCUACCUUAUGCUGAAUCAACCGAAUAUUUCAUAUGUCGUAGGUGUCAUGAGUUGGUAAAUGCAAAAUCCAAAGAAGCUUCACUUGGAAGUAGUUCUGUGAAUACUAAGAUAUGUGAAGAGUACAAACAAUUAUGGUUCAUUGUGCAAGAAAGAUGAAAUUACAAGCUGACUAGCUAUUGUGACGCUGACUACGCCGGAGAUCAUGAUACAAAAAGAUUAACUACUAGGUAUGUUUUCAGAAUUAGGUCUAGAGUAGUUUUUUAGUGUAGUAAGAGACAACCAACUGUAUCACUAUCAACCACAGAGGCAGAGUAUAAAACAACAGUGAUGACAUCUCAAAAAAGCACUUGGUUGAUGUAGUUGAUCAAGGAUCUACACCAACUAGUAGAUUAUGUAUGCAAUACCACUGUAUUGCGAUAAUCAAUCGAUAAUCAACUUGGUAGAAAAUCUAGUUUUCCAUGCAAGAACUAAGCAUGUAGAGGUCCAUUAUCACUUCAUCAGGGAAAAUGUCUUACAAGAUAAAGUUGAGAUGCGGUACGUCAAGACAAACAAUUAAGUUACGGAUUUUUUUUUUUAUAAAAAGUCUUUGUACCAUGAAGUUUAAAAAGUUUCGUCAGCAGCUCAAUAUGGAUCGAAUGAUGAAACUUGGUUUUGAGGGGGAGUGUUAAAAGUGCAACACCAAUUUUAUGAUCCAAUUAAAUAACAUUUGUCCAAAUCCAAGUUCAUAACUCAAUCCAUAGAAGACUUAAGAAUUGUGUAGAGAACAUGGGACAUUUCUAAUCUAAAAAUAUUUAAUGAUGAUGAAAAUAUCUUAUUUUAGAAAUCUCUUGAACGGUGAUAUUUAUAAAAUGUGAUUGUUAAAUUUUUAUAAUUUAAUGUUUUGUGUGGUUUGUAUUAGUUUUAGGAUACUAUAAAUACCGCUAAACUCUUUGUUGUAGGCAUCAAGAGAGGAGUGAAGAAUUAGUAGGAAGAAAGAAGAGUGAGCCGUGAGUAUCGUAGUGUUUUUCUUAUAAAAUAUCAAUAAAAUCCUUUAAUUUAGUAAAAUACUUCUAUUUCUUAAAUAUUUUCAGUCUUAAGCAGCUUCGUCCUUCUUUCUCAACAAAAGCAUUCCAUUUAGUAUAUGAAAAGAAAGUUGUGAGUUUGUGAAGAGAGAAUAAUUAGAAUAUCUUUUGCAAUUGUUAUUUUCCCAAUUUUAAGUAACAGAGUUGCUUUCUCCUAGUAUAAGAGAGAUUGUAAUUGUUCUAUCCUUGUAUUCAAAGAAAAUUGUUAUAAUCCUCAUUUGAAUAGUGAAUUCUUUCUACUUUUGUUGUGGAUUUUUAACCCGGUUUAUUUGGAAUUUUUUCCACUUAAAAUUUGUGUGUCCCAUAUAUCUUCAUUUGUUCUUAAUAUCACUUUGGUUUCGGUCUGAUACGGUCCUUAAUUUCCUAAUAGAAAACAACCGAAACCAUCCAAUAACGAGAGUGAUCUCUGAAAGCUCCAUUGCAGAACAUGGAUAACCGCUGCUUCGGCCAUCUGUAUUAACUUUUACCCAGCCAUGCACUAUCGGGCAAAUUUUAGCAAAAUAUUGAAAAUGAGAGGUAUAACCAACUUGUAUUAGAUGAAAGGAGGAUGGGGUGUUUUCAUAUCGUAGCUCUGUCACGGCAUCGAUGUGAAGAAGAUGAGUUGGUCAUGUCUAAUUAACAAAAAAAAAAAAAAUCCUUUCUGCUAAUCCCAAUUUCAAAGCUUUCUUGUGUCGGACUUUAAUUCUAACUUUGUAAUAUCACACUUUCAAUGGUUAUUUUACCUUUAUAUUCACUAUUGACUUAUAGGGGUGAAAUGAAUAAUUAAAACUCUAUUAUGGAUAUAAAUAACAAAAAAGAAAUUUAUGUGUCGCGGAACUGGUACUCAUAUGAAAAUAACAUUUGACAAUAUCGAACCAUUGGAGCACUAAAUAAAUUAUAGCAUUAUAUAAAAGGGGAUUUGAAUACAUGCUCAUGUUAUGCCCUACGGACUUUCUUUUGUAUUUGUUGGCAAAAAUUUGCAGAUCGUAGAUAUUUGCCCCUAAGGUAACAAAACUGCAAAAGCAUUUCGUGGGUAACAAGUACUCGGGCUUUUAUCUAGAAUAUCUUUAUUCUUCCAUACCAAUAAAUCACUUAGAUUUUAUGGGCUACGGAUGGAAAUUGUUAAAUUCAUUAUUUAUAGAGUUUGUAUUUUAUAGCAAGUCUAGUUAAAUUGGAAUUUUAUUUAUUGUAUAUUUUGUAAUAGUGAUUAAUUUAUUAAUUCCCUAAUUUAGUGAGAUUUCAAUUUAUUAAGAAUAUUUAUUUCCUAAUUUAAUUAGAUGGCUAACUUAAAAAGUCAAUUAAUGAUGUGAUUCUAUAAUUGGCGCAUGAGCUCUAUUUUGAGUAUGAAGUCAGUUCAAACAUGAAGUUUAUUAAAUGAUUUAGAUAUUUCUUGGGAGACAAGCAAUGUAAGAAAAUUAGAUUUAUUCCUAUUCAGAUUCAUAGGAAUUAUAAAAGAAAAUAAACUCUUAUUUGGAAAGAAUCAAAAUCUUUUAAGAGUUAUUAUUUUUGUGAAAUCCUAGUGCCUAUAUAAAGAGAGGUAUUUCACAAUUGAAGGUGUGCAACACGGAGCACAAAGCAGGGAAGCAAAAUUCGGCAUUCUCCCUAAAGAAUCCUAAUUUGGCACAUAAUAUUGUGUUGAUUUAUUUACUUAUCUUCUUUUCAUAUUUGUGUAGAGUCUAUGUGAAUUUUGGAUCACUAGACAUUAAAAAAUUAAAUAAUUGUUAUUGAUCACUUUGCGAAGUGCGUUAAGUAUCGUGGAUCAAGAGGGGUAGUAAUUAUUUAAGAGAAGCAAAUUCAGUCUGUACAAUGAUAAAAUGUAAAUGAGAGUUUUAAGUUUGAUAAAUCUAUGGUUGUAACAUCUCAACUUAGUGAAUUACUUUUCAUCUGAGCUUGACCUCGUGGAUGUAGAAUUAAUUAAUCUGAAUCACGUAAAAAUCUCCGUACCAUUUAAUUUCUGUAAUUUAUUGUAUUUUUGAAAAAUUAAUAUUUUGAUGCGGAUAAACAAUAACCGUAAACAUUAACUAUAAACAAUAAGCGUAAACAAUAAUGAUGAAUAGUAAUGGUAAACAAUAUUUCCGAAAGUUAAUUAAGUUGUUAAUUUUAAAUUUUUAAUUACCUACAUCUAAAUUGCCUACAUUUAGUGCAAUUUUGAAAGGUAUUAAAUUGGCAGCGGACUUGGGGUUUCUUCCGCUACUGAUAGAGUCCGAUUCAGUUAAUGUCAUUAGUCUCAUCUCAGGAAAAAUUAACAGCCAAUUAGAGAUUGAUUGGCUAAUAUCUGAUAUUAAAAGUUUUAUUUGUAAGAAAAGUGUUUGCUAUAAGACACAUUCCCAGAUCCGGUAAUUCAGCAGCUCACAAAGCUGCAAAAAUGGCUCUUGAUCAUGCUGAGUCGCGCACAUGGUUACAGGAUGCGCCUCCUGACAUUGUACCUCUCUUGUAAUGUUAUGGUGUAAUCAAUGAAAAUUUUAUUGUAAAAAAAAAAAUCCUUUCAGAAAUUAAUAUAUACUAUUUUAAUGUGGAAAAUCCCUUCAGAAUUAGUUCGAUAAAUACAAUAUUCAUCCAGUUACCGCAGGCUAAUAAUGCUCAUCCUGGAUAACUCAUGUCGCUUUUUACAUAUGCUGUAAUCUAAUUGGUGUGAUUAUCUUUGUAGGCCUACCUUCUCACUUGGCCAGAAUCGAGGUUAUAUAUGGUCAUGCAAUUAUACAUGAAAAAAGAAUAUCUUUCCAGUAGUUCAUUUUCCCUUUCACAUAGAGCGUACUAAGGAUAUAUAUAUCGGAAACCUGAGAAAACUAAUGAGAUAUUUGAAGGUUAAAGGGGAAGCCGGCUCCGUUAUUAAAAGCAAACUUCUUUAUUUAUUUAUAGACUAGAGUCAAGGAGCUUCACCCGUUACACACUUGAAUCCUUUUUCUAGGCACCAUAAAGGAUCCCAACAAUUAUACAUUACAAGUCAUUACCUUUAUUUAUAGACCAGACACAAGGCGCUCUGCCCAUACAACAUACUUGGAACAUUUUUAAAGGCACACUAAAAGACCAUCCACAACAAAACAUUGAUUCGAUCAUUACACUGGAGGUCGCCUUUUCAUCGGAAAUUGAGAUUUACCUUACCAAGAGGUAAUAUCAACGUUACACAAAACAUGACAUAUAACCAUGUCUAACCUUAUAUCUAGAUUAGAUUACACAGUACACACCAGCUUAAUUAUCUUACAGUAGUAUUCAAUUGGAAUACAAAUGCCAAUACAUUUUACCAUCGAAAGUAUGAUCAGAAUCCAGAACAUUUCCAUGAGGUACCUCUAUAAGAUUAAUCUGCAAAACAAGAGAACCUCCUUCCUGCACAUGACGAUCUUUAUACAGUUCAUCUAAUUGAACCAUAGUUCUAAGGCCAUGAAUAGGACGAUUUUUAUCAAUAGGCCUAUAACCAUUAGUAUAACCAGAUGCAACAACAUCAAAAGAUACUUCAGCAUCCAUAUUAUUGGCGGCUGCAGGAGGCAGAUCUCCUCUCCAAGCAUCCUCGUUAGCUCUGGGAACAAAUAGGACGGCCCAGGAAACAAUAGGAGCCCAACUUCGACCAAACAAACCAAAAUCCAUCCUAUUCAAGUCCUUCAAAACACCAGGAUCUGCAUAACGCAGAAAAAAGUAGUCUGAUUUAAAACCUAUCAAUUUUCGCUGAUCACACGCCAUAUCUUCCGUGAUUAAUGAAAAAUAAGCGCUCAGAAUCAGAUCACUUGCCUCAGAAAUUAUUUUCGUUGCUCUGUCACUCUUUUUUCUGCUGCCGUCCAAAGACAUUUUCACGUCUAUUUAUGCAAGGGAGGAAUUCGAACACAAACAAAUCACAAAUAAUUAUUAAUUAAUUAUAAUAGGACUCUUAAUUAAUGCAUUCCAGCAUCUCCUUCUGCAACGUGUCUGGCGACGUGGUUUUGUCUUCGUCUGUGCUCCGCCUUUCAUUUCUUGGAUAUCUUCAUCAUAGGUAUUAGAGCCAAGUUAAGGUUAGGUAGAUGAUACAAGUCCUCUUCAAAAGGAUUUUGCUAGUAUUAGAGCCUAGUAAUGUAAGAUAUAAUCUCUCGUAAAAUUGUGGGCCUAAGUGGAACCUACAACUAAAUUUGUAUGAGACUGUACCUUACAUUACACGCUUCCUUUAACAAUUGACACAUGUUAAUUAAUGCAUUCCAGCAUCUCCUUCUGCAACGUGUCUGGCGACGUGGUUUUGUCUUCGUCUGUGCUCCGCCUUUCAUUUCUUGGAUAUCUUCAUCAUAGGUGUUAGAGCCAAGUUAAGGUUAGGUAGAUGAUACAAGUCCUCUUCAAAAUAGCUCUCUGUCACAAGUGGUUCCGGUACGUAGAUCCACGUCUUCUUUUGCAGCGUGGUUUGGCCUUUUCAGUUCUUCUCAUUCUUUGAUUUCUUCGAAUAGUUAUCUGCAUCGUGUUUACAGGUUAGGUAAGACUAAGGAUUGGGUUCUCACAGUUCUAAUAUUUUGAUUGGACCAUCCUGCAUCUAUCUCUUAUUUAGUUUAGCAUGACUUAUUUAACAUCAUAAAUAUUUCUUUAAUUUUAUAAUUUUUUAAAUAUUAAAUAAAUUAUUUUUUUAUUAGUAAAAUUUUAAAUUUUGAGUUUUUGAAAAUAGAUUGAAAAAUAUUUUUAAAAUAUUAAAAUAUUAAAAAUAUUAUUUAUUUAUUUAAUAAUUUUAUUUCAUUCAUUUUAUAACAUAAAUUUAAAAAAUUACCUAUUAAAAAAAAUUAUAAUUUCUUAAUAAAAACUCUUAUUGAUAGUCAAAUACCUUAAAGUUUUAGUAACAGUUUGCUUGUAAAAGAUUUAUUAACAAAAGUUAUGCCGAAAUAAAUUUUAUUUGAAAAAUUAUAUCAAGGCUUGAUUUGGUAUCAAAAGAAAAUUAUCAUACACUUAUAUUUUUAUAUUAUCAUUUAAAACUGAAGAGAAGAGUAAAGAAAGAUCAAACCAGAGUGAAGAAAGGUUAACAUAAAAUGAAAGAAAAGCCUCGGGCAUUAUACUAUGAUUUGGGAGAAUGAUGCGUUAUUUAGUUUUGGUGGGUGUAAAAGGAAAACGAAGCUUAAUAAUAUGAGCUUAAAACUCAAUUAAAAUGAGUUUAAUGAAGGGUAGUUUUAGCAUUUUAAAGUGCGAUCAUAGUUAAUUUUAAUUUUUGUAACUUAUUGAAUAAACUAUUUGCAAUGAAUUAAGAAAAGUAAUCAAUAACUAUAACAAUAAAAGUAAUGAUUACUGAAACGACCCAUCUCGAACUUCAAGAGCAAAUCUAUCUAAUUUCUUUUAACGUGAUUAGUAAAACUUAUUAAUAAGGAUUUUGCUAAAAUUUUCCAACAUGCAAAUCUUCAAAACAAACACUUUCAAAAUAAUUCAAUACACAACAAACUUCAUUGUUCAACCUUCUCAACCAUGAUAUUGAAUAUCACCUAAACACUUAUAAAGUAUCAAAAGAUUAUGUUAUAGCUAAUGUCAACAUAUAUUAAACAUUCAUAAUCAUCAAAUCAUAAUACAAUUAUACAAUCCAAAAUGAGAUGAUCUAAUUCCCUAAUAAUAUCAUUUAUAUCUUUUAGCACCAUCACGUGGCCAAAAUUCAAAAACACUACAGUCGUUGGGUCGAUUAAUGUAUCCACAACCUUCUGUGGGGGAAAAGUAUAGUAAAAUGGAAUGAAUAUAAAACUCAACGAGUGAAUAAUAACUUUUGAAAAUAAUAUAUUUUAAAAUAAUUAUAUCUUUUCAAUAUACUAUUUUCAUCAAACUAUAAGUAAGAACAUAGAUGAAUUAUUCGAACUUUAAAUCAAACAACUAUCGUUUUAAUUUUAAAGUGCGAUCGUAGUAAAUUUUUAUUUUUUUAAUUUAUUGAAUAAACUAUGUACAAUCAAUUAAGAAAAAUAAUCAAUAACUAUAACAAUGAAAGUAUUGAUUACUGCAACGACCCACCUCAAACUUCGAGGGCAAGUCUAUCUAAUUUCUUCUAACGUAAUUAGUAAAACUUAUUAAUGAGGAUUUUGCUAAAAGUUCGUCGACAGAGUGCCCCCCUAUAUUUAUAAAAUUUCUAACAUGCAAAUCUAAACGCUCCCAAAAUAAUUCAAUACACAACUAACUUCAUUGAUCAACCUCCUCAACCAUAAUACUGAAUAUCACCUAAACACUUCUAAAUUAUCAAAAGAUUAUAUUAGAGCUAAUGUCAACAUACAUUAAACAUUCAUAAUCAUCAAAUCAUAAUACAAUUAUACAAUCCAAAAUGAGAUGAUCUAAAUGCACUAAUAAUAUCAUCUAUAUCUCCUAGCACCAUCAUGUGGCCAAAAUUAAAAAAAAAAACAAAUACUACAAUCACUGGGUCGAUUGGUGUACCGUAACCUUCUUUAGGGGGAAAGUAUAAAAAAAUGAAAUGAGUAUAAAACUCAAUGAGUGGAUAAUAGUUUUUGAAAAUAACAUAUUUUAAAAUAAUUAUUUCUUUUCAAUACACCAUUUUCAUCAAACUAUAAGUAAGAACAUAGAUGAAUUAUUCGGACUUUAAAUCAAACAACUGUCGUUAAAAGAAUACAUGAUAUUAUACAUAAUAUACAAGGAAAUCAUAUCAAAAUAUAAUAUAAAAUACUUGAUUAUGAAAUUGUCACUAAAUAGUACCUAAGUAAAUAAUCUUGUCAUUCUCGCACCUCUUAUCGAUGGUGAAAUGACGUACUAUCUGAGUACUAUCAUGUCCGGAGCUAGAACGAGUAGACCAAUGGCAUGCUAUCUCAUAUAUCUCAUCAUAUCUCCUUAUAUUUCAUGUAAAAAACAAUCCCUACAGGACAAAAACACCCAAGCACACAACCCAAAAUCUUUGUGUAUAUUCAGACGGGACCCAAAGAUCUCUAGCUCAACUAUAAUCUCUACAACUGAAUCUAUAUCUCUGUAUCUCAAACUGUAUCUGGAGGGGAGGAGUAUUGUCAAAUGAUUUUAAAAACAAACUCUUAUACACUUGUAGAUAAACAUAUAAUCAUACUUUAAACUUCAUUUCCUUUUUCAUUAACAUACUGUAAAUCUAUUUUUCUUUUCUUUAAAAUACUCUUAUGCGUUUACUCAACAUAGAGAAGCAAAAGUAAUCAUCAAACACGUUUUAACAAUAUAUUAAUACAUAAAUAAAAAUCAUUUAUAAAACCAUUAAAUCAAAACAUUAAACUCUUGUUUCGUAUGCAUGCGUUACUUUACUUAAUUUAAAAAUCAUAAUAAAUUAUAAAAAUGGGUUUAGUAUAUUCCAUUUGCAAUGAUGAUGCUCAAGCUCAACUAUUAUCGACAUCCGCAGAUUGACUCACGUUUAUGGCUCCUCUAAAUUGUGGAACGACAUAAUUACUUUUUGAAUAUAUGAAAUACAACUAGCUUUAAGCAAGAUAGCUCUCAAUGAAUAUUUAUCCCACAAUGUACAACUCCCGAAACCAUACUUGUAAGAUAAAAAUGACCAUAAUAUACUCAAAGCCAUAAUUUACACCUUAUACAUAAAAUUCCAUACUCCUUAAAUUUUUCAUAUGUUAUAAUACUAAUAAAUCUUCCACAUUAUCAAAAAUCUCAUAAUUAACCAUAACCUACCUAAACAUGAUGCAUAACUAUAAGCUAUUUACAUACCGAAAUGAGGGAACGAUGAGGGCUACGCGUUUCUAGGUGUACAAUGCCUCAUUGGUGCCCUUGUGCAUCUAUAAUAAUCCACUAGUUACAAAAAUUAGCUUGGGACAAUUUUUACCCGUUUGUUAGAAACCUUAACUAUAAAUAAAGUAUACAAAUUUUUAAAUUAACUUCAUUCCCAUGAGAUCCAACUUCGAAUAAAGAUAACAUGAUAGAAAUAUUACUUCCUUUGGUGAGAAAAACCAACUUGGAAGCUUGAUUACUUCCUUCUCACUUAAAUCCCCUCUCUACACUUACAUUUAAAUUCCUCUUUAAUGGAUGUUUUCAAAAGAAUUUAGGGACGGAAACACUCUAGAAUAACUCUCCAUUCCAAGCUUUCCAAGAUCCAAACUCAAACUUUGAAAAAUUUCCCCAUUUUUCUCCUCUUUCCCAUUGCUCCUCUUCUCCUUUUCUUUUUUGCCUUUUUUUUUUUCAAAUCAAUACAUAUAAAAGCCAAUGGAGACUAACAGGCUUUCAAGUAAGGGUGGAUGUUCAGAUUGGUAUUUGUUUUAUUCUUUAUUAAUCUGGCCUGGAUUUGAGAUUCUGGAACUAUAAGUGGCUGGUUACUGGGAAAUUUUUCGAAAAUGAAAUUUUUGUAACCUAAAUUGGACCCAAACUGAAAUUGAGACCUAAAUUUUCAAACCGAACCAAUCCAAAGUGUGAUCCCAAAUAGAACCGAGUCGAACUAAAUUCGGUUCGGUUCUGUUUGGGUUCAUGUUUUGAACCUAAUUGGGUUGAAUACUCUAACCCGAUCAGGUUGUAACCUAACUGGAACUCAAACAACCCGAAUCGAAACCCGAUAUGCCCACCCCUAUUUUAAAGCCUACAGACCAAUGGAAGAAAUGGAAAGAAAAAAUAUGUUAUAGUUAUUAACUUGAUUCUUGGGUAUUAUAAUCUCAAUAUUUAACAUGAUGUUGUUUCUCAUAUUAGUUUCUAUCUUCUGUGUUGAGACCUAGAGUCUUAUUCAAGUUGGCAUCUUGUAAGGAUUGGCAUUCUUAUUGAAUUGUAAUUCAUAAAUUGAAGGCUAUGUUAAUUGGGAGAUUUCUUAAUUUAGUUAUUUUCUUAAAAUUAGGAUUUAAGUCUUUUCAUUUUAAGGAUUUACUUAGAACACAAAGAGUCUAAUUUUGGAAGCAAAUCAAAAUUUAAAAAAAAAAAAAAAGGCUCUCUAUAACUUGUUAUAGAAGUUAUUCAUUGAAGAUAGUUCAUCACAAGCAGAAAAAUAGAAUUUUAAGGUGGAUGAACAAUGCUAUAAAUAGUAUUAGAUGAACAAUAUUAGUUAAUAGUGUCUAUUGAAACUAUUCAUUGAACUUUAAUCUUUAUAGGGUACACGCUUAUUUAGUCUCUAUAUUUUCACUCAAAUAUAUGUUUAGUCUCACAUUAUAAAAUAUAUCUCAAAACACUCAUAUAGUUAAAUAUGUUACAUUCUUAACCUUUUUUGGUUUUAUGAUAACACCCUUCAAACAAUAUUCUUGACAUGAAUUAAGGUAUCUAUAAAAAAAAGUUAAUUAGCAUCUUAACCAAUAAUUAAUUAUUAGCAAAUUAAUUAACAAAUACCACUGUGAAAGAACUAAUAUUUUUAUACUCUUGCAACAAUCUUACUAAUAAUUAUUUAUAAAUAAAUUAAUAUUAGCCAACUUAAAACAAUGUUUAUUAAUAUCUUUACAACAAUUUUAAUAAUAUUUUUUUUAUAAAAAUUAAUUUACUAAAUUAAUUUUAAAAGAAAAAUAAUAAUAUAAAAGUUUGGGUAAAUUUUUAUGUUACUUUUAAGAUAAAUUUUGGUAAAUUAACAAUUUUUAUUGAUAUCCCAAGAAUAUUGUUGCAAGAGUGUUAUCAUAAAAAGAAAAAUAUUAAGGGUAGGAAUGAAACAUAUUUGACCUCAUGGGUGUCUUGAGAUGUGUCUCUCUGUGUGUAACACUUAAAUCAAAAUAUAGGGAUUAAAUAAGUAUUAACCUAUUUUAUAUUCAUCCCACUCUUAGACAUACUUUUGGUGCGUUUGUGAUUAAGGUUGAGCAGCUGUAGCUUUUAAGCUACAAUAGUAAAGUGUUUGGUAAACACUAGCUGUUGUACCUUGAAAGUUAUGUUAAUAUGAUUUUUCACUUGUAUAAUAAAAAAUCUAUUAUAUCUUUAAUGAUUUUGUCAAAAUUAUUAUUUAAAAUUUAUAUUUACUAUAUAUUAUUGAUUUUUGUUUUAUAGUUACAGUUUUUUUUCCACAGCAGUUGUAGCUUAAAAGUUAUAGUACCUCAAUCCCAAACAGGACCUUUGUUAAUUGGUCUCUCUUCGUUAAUUGGUCUCUUCCAAAAAAGAUGUUGUUUGGAGCAGUUAAGGAAUUUCAUAUCAAGGUUAUGAACAAGAAGACGAAUGGUUCUCGCAAAUUACAUAUGCCUUAGUUGACUGAGAUGGUGGCAAAAGUAAAUUUUCCUACAUAUUAAAAUACUAAAUGUGAUAUAAGAACCAACUAUAAGUAAGUUAAAUUGAUGAUUUGGUAUAAUUACAAUAAUUAUUAUUUUUAAUUGAUAUGUGGGUUGAAAUGGCUAUAUAAUCAUUCUUAAGUGCGAGCAUCCAUAUUUUUUUGGGAAAAGGACAAACACACCCCCAACGUUUAGGCAAAGGGAUAAAAAACCUCCUAACGUUUUAAAAAAGACAUUUACACCCCAACUUAUUAUAAUUUUACCAUUAUACCCUUCUAGCAUAUAAAAAAAUUAUUAGAUUAUCUAAUUUGUCUAUAUAUUGUUAAUAAAAUUAUAAAUAGAAAAAUUGGAUAUUAUAAAAAAAAUUAUAAAUAUACCCUCAUUGCCCAAUUCUUCUAUUUAAAUUUUUAUUAAUAACCAAUUUUCAAAAAAGACAUCUAUACACCUAAAAAAUUGUAAAUAAAUUAUAAUUUUAAAAAUAAAAUUGGUUAUUAAUAACCAAUUUUAUUUAAAAUUUAAACUUGUAUAUUUAACAAUUCUCCACAUGUCAAUCAUUUAAACCAGUACAUUUAUAACCAAUUUUCUAUGUUAUUUAUUAUGGUAUUAAUAACCAAUUUUAUUUUUAAAAUUAUAAUUUAUUUACAAAUUUUUUUUAAGUGUGUAGAUGUCUUUUUUGACAAUUGGUUAUUGAUAAAAAUUUAAAUAGAGGAAUGAGGUAAUGAGGGUAUAUUUAUAAUUUUAUUAACAAUAUAUAGAUAAAUUUGAUAAUCUAAUAAUUUUUUUUAUAUGCUAGAAGAGUAUAAUGGUAAAAUUAUAAGAAAUUGGGGGUGUAAAUAUCUUUUUCAAAACGUUAGGGGGACUUUUGUCCCUUUACCUAAACGUUGGGAGUGUGUUUGUCCUUUUCCCUAUUUUUUUAAUACCGAUUCGCUCUUAAACUGUAUAAUUAAAAAAGAUAAAUUUUAAAAUAAAUUAUAAUACUGUCCUAUUUAAAAGAGUUAAAAACUAACUCUCUUUAAUUUCACAGCUUAAAAACAUAGCCAAAAAGAAAUUUUAGGGUGCCGGCAUUGAAAAAAGACACACAUAAUGCUUAUCAAAUCUAAGAUUAAAAUUCGGAAUUAAAAUUUGAGACGGAUAAAAAAUAUCGUAAAAGUAAUUUAGGAUGCCAUAAAUUCAUACUGGUGUCUAAUUCUAAACUUUAUCUCCAGAUUUCAAACAUUCAUCGCUUUGUGGCCCCUAUUUUCUUUAUUUUUCUAACUUUCUUCCGGUGGCGGAGCCCACCAUUGGAAGAGUUAAUAUUUUUUUUUGACAUUUUUUUCAUUGUCUAGCCCACCACCUUGUUUGACUCUUCUCUGGAAAAAGUUGCUUCUCUAUAUUUUUUUUCAGAACUUGACUAGCUUACAGAAUCUGUAAGCUACAGACUGCAGCAUCAGCCGUUGGAUGUGGAGUGAGAAACUAAACAAUAGAAGAUCGGACGGUGGGAUGACGGGAGAUGUUAGACAGGUCCUUUUUUUCAAUGCCGAACCUGCCGAGCCCACCAACCUGUUCUCAUUUUUUUUUUUUUUUUUUUCGCAAACCCUUACAUACAUUUUAUAUAUCUUACACCAAACAAUGAAUGGACGCCACACUACUCACUGUGUGAGUGGUUGUAAUAUAUAUUAAGGCCAUAUUUGCUUGGGGGUUGAGAAGUGAGGAGAGGAAAAGAAUUUAAUUUCUUUUAUACUUUUCAUUGUUUGGUUAGACUAAAUUUAAUGGAAUUGAAUUUUCAUUGAAAUUUAAUUUCCAUCAAUUUGAAAAAUUUGUAUUCCUUAUCAAUGACUAAGGAUUUCAAAUUUCUUAUCUAUUUAAACACAAAAAUUCUAAUAUUAUCCUCUAAACAAAAUCAAUUUUAAAUAAAUGAAAGUAUAAAUAAUUUAUAUUUAUUUUAUUAAAUUAAUAGGAUAAAAUUAUUUGAUAAAAAAAAAAAUAGUAAAGUGACUCGCCGGAAAGUCACCGAAGACUCGCUGGAGUUUCGCCGGAGAUGCGUUUUUCCAUCAAAACCGGUACCAAUAGAAUCCUCAUGAGCCGAUCUACAACUUUAUGGGGUUAGAAAUGCUAAUAUACAUUGUUAUUUACCUCAAGUCUUGUUUAAAUACUUGAGAAAAUUUUAACUCAACUAUAUAGUGUAUUUUCUUCAAAAUUAACAUUUAAAAUGAGUAAAUCGUCCAUUUUUUUAAUAAUUAUUAUGCAUUUAACGCGAUGAAAAAUGGUAGUCAACGAUGGUUAACGGCGCCGGUCAAUGACGAUCAACAGAGGUCAAUGCGGCAGCUGUUCAUGGCCAAAUGCUGUAAUUUUUAAAAAAUAAAUUUUUUAUUAAAUUAAGUAAUUUUUAGAUUAAAUUAAUUCAUAGUUUUAUUAUGUUUUAAUUUAUUAACAAUAUUAACAUUAAAGAUAGUGGGUAUAUUUGUCCAAAUAAAAAAUAUGUAAUUUCUUUUCCUUUCAAAUUUUAUGUAAAACCAAAUAAUAACAAUUAAUUUUUGCACUAUUUUCCUCUUAUCUCCUCUCCAUUUCUCUCCUUUUUUUCUCCUUUCGUCUCCUCCCUUUCUUAAAACCAAACACCACAUAAAUGUAUGUUAGAGGAAUCCUUUUCAUUUUAUUCAGGCUUUGAUUUCCUUUCAUCGGCGGGGUGGGUACUUUUAAAAAGAAAAUUAUACUUUAAAAAUAUUUUCAUCAUUUAUUUUUAAUUAAAUAUUAUAUUAUCAAAUUACUCUUUAUGAAAUUUACCGUUAUAGACAAUCAUAGUUACUAGAUACAAUUUUAUAAUUGUGUCAAAAAAAUCGUUUUUUAAUUUUUUUUUCAUUUUAAUUUUCUCCUCGACUUCACUGGUAAAUAUUUACUCUAAAAAAGAGUGGCUGUUAAAACAAAAAUAAAUAAAUAAUUGGGCAUUGGUUUGGAUAAGAUGGACAACAUUUAUUGGGACUCUAUAUCAUUGGGCGGUAGAACUUGGAGGUUGGACCGUUGCGCUUUUAAUAAAUUAAUUUGUAAGCAAUUUUUUUUUUAUUCGUUAAUAUAUUACAAUUAGAGCUCUACUGAUAUAAUCAGACGUCAAUAGGGUACUCUCCUCAAUAAUUCUAUUGUAGCACAGCUCAAAUAUCAACUCUUCGCUUAAAACUGAAGGGAGAUCUACCAUCACUAUUAAUACCGGAGGGGAAUCAAUUCUACCCCAAUGUCCAAGUUCUCAAUAAUUUUAGUGUGAACAAAAGUUCAGUUCAUGACCAUGAAAUUAAUCGGAGUUGUUCCGAUGGUUACUGCAAGAGUGUUGAUGUUUGAAGAAAGAGAGCUUGGGCAAAAUAAACUAAUUUUAGGGUAACUUUGGGAUUUUGAUGAGCGUGAUAGUAAAAAAUUAUAUUUUAAAUUUGACAGUGUAUUGAGUAAAUGAGUGUCCAAAAUAUUAUUUAGAGUAUAAAUAAUCUCACCUAAAAAAAUUAUUUACUUUAAUAAAGACACAAUAAUUUACGUGAUUUGACUUAAAAUCUACAUUUACGAGCAAAAGUUAAAAAUAACUUCAUUAAUAAAUAAAAAUUUACCAAAUUAAGAAAAAAUACCCUCAAAACUCAAAAUCCCAAUAUACCCAAUUAAACCAUUAGUAGAACACUCAAAUAAAAACUCUAUUCAAUUUCUCAAAUUACUUCCCUUAUAAUUACUUUCAACUUUCACACUUUAGGAUGAUCUUUAAAUGACAAACUGCCGCUCUGUCUAUGCCUCUAUGGGAGUGCGUGGCUCAACUAUUUCUCUCAAUUUUGGUAAUUUGUCAACUUGUUUAGUCCACCGAAUUCGGAACCCAAUCUUGUGCCGCCAUUUCUUAAAAAGCUCUCCAAAUGCAUUAAAGUGUCAAGUAUUUCAAUAACCAACUCUCUACAUUUGUUGGCAAUUUUAAAUGUAUUUAAUUCACUUUUUUUGACUUUUCAACACACAGGAUGUGGAGAAAAAUAAUUAUGUUUUCGUUCUAUUUUUUUCAAUAGUUAGUAUGAUAAUCAGCCAAAUAUAUACAACAUACCAUUCUAUAACUCUGAUACUUUAUAAUAUAUACCAAUCAAGCCCUAAGUCUAAGACUGUCUCAUAAAACUAUUAAAAAUUUUGAACCUAAUACUUCAACGCAUCACUAAAAGGUUUUUUAAAUUAGAUUUUAUUACUUAUUAACGAGUCAUAUCAAUCAAUAAAUUUUAAAAGACUUUUUAAGUGAGUUUUUUUUUUUUUAUUGAAGAGAGAAAAAAGUACUAUCUCAUUUGAAGGGUUUUUUAAAACCUUAAAUUUAUUCUACUCUUUCUCAUAAUUUCAUGAAGAGAAAGAAGUAUCAUAUUUGCUAUUGAUUUUGUAGAGAAUUUUUUUUGAUUAAAAUAAUAUAUUUAUACUUUUAUUUAAAGAAUCUUUUAAUUUUUUUCCACUCUUUCAUUUACAAUAUAUAGAAGUAAAUAAAUAUUUAAAAAAAAUUAAAUUUAGAAGAAUAUUUUAGUGAUCUUCUUAGAUCUACUGAGUGUCUGUUUGGUAUAAUUUAUGUAAUGCUCAUAAGUAUUUAUUUAAUCUCAAAAAUUCUUAUCAUAAUUUUUAUUACUAUUUAUUUUUUUUAGAGAUUUUAUAGUUUAAAUAAGUUAUUUUAUUUGUACUAGUAAAAUCUCAAAUUAGGAGUAGAGAUUGAAAUUUUUUUAAAUAUUAAAAUAUUUAAAAUAUUAUCUACUUAUUUGACUUUUUUUCAUAACAUAACUUUAAAAACUUACCGAUUAAAAUAAUUUCAUAAAUUUUUAAUAAAAAUUCUUAUUAACAAUCAACAACUAAAAUUUUGUAAGUAAAAAUUUUAUUUAUAAAAAUUUUGUUAUCAAAAACUCUAUUUAAAUAAAUUUUAUUUAAAAAAUUAUAUUAAACGGAGCCUUACCCUCGCGAAUCGCGAUACCAUAACUAUUUUAAAGAAAUCGAAGAAUAGAAAGAAUUGAAAAGGCAAAACCGCGUUGUAAAAGAGGACGUGAAUCAACGUACCGAGGCCACUAAUGACAAAUAGCUACACCUUUUGAAGUAGACUCCCAGUGUCUACCUAACCUAAACGGGUACAGUGACCUUUUAUUUUUUUUGACAAUAGAUACAGCUACGUAUGACUGAAGAAAUAAAAAAAAUAUGAAAAGCAUAGGGUAGAAGAAAACAAAGCUACCCAUUGGCUUCGUGUUGCAACUCUGCAACAGAAUGUCAAAUCGACAAUGAUAUUUCUUUGUCCAUUUUCACGUGCACAACCAUAAAAAAGAAAAAAAAUAUCACAAUUGUAUGUAUAUGCUGGUGGGUCCUUUUUCAAAUUUGACAAGAGGAUUUUAAUUUCUUAUGAAAUUUGUGUUACUUCAAAUCAUUUUAUAGAAAUUAGGGAUGGCAAUGGGAAGGGGAGGGGAGGGGACCAAUCUCAUCGUACCUAUUCCCGAUAUUUUACGUAUGUCACCGUUUCCUCCCCAUCCCCAUCAUAAUUACUUGAGAGAAUCUUUUUUCCUUCCCCGAAUAAUAACAGUGGAUUCUCGAGGGUCUCCGAUCCCCGUAUAACUAAUACAUUUUUUUUUUAUUUUUAGUUAAUUAUAUUAAAAUAAAAAAUUCAAACAAAAGUAAAGUUCGAAAUAUAUUUUACAUUAACAUUGAUCCAUUAUAAAAGUCACAUGCAAAAUACAAAUUAUCAAAAUAAUUAUCUUUGUCAAUCUUCAUAAUCCUACAAUAAAAAGAAAAAAAAUUUACUUUUAUAUCGACAAUAAAUAAAUGAAAUAAAUAUAGAUACUUAAUUAAUAUUUUUAAUAAAAUAAAAUUAAAAUUAAAACAAAAUUUUUGGGCUAAUAGAAUCUACCCGACCUUUUUAAUGUCUUAAAUAAAAAUUUAAGACUUUAAUUAGUUAAUUAGGCCUAGAAGUUUAAUAAUAUAAAUAUUUUAAUAUUUGUUACUUUUACCAAUAGUUAUAAUUUUAUAAUAUAAUUUAAAUUUUAUUAUUUAUUUACUAGUAAUUUUAAAAAAUAAAAAUAAAAUUAAAAGUUAAAAUGGGGAGAUGGGGAGGGGAUGGGGAUUCCACCUCAUCUCCGCCCCUUCCCCGAAUAAGAAACUGGGUAAAAAAAAUUUCCCAUCCCUUCCCCGAAUAAAAAAUUGGGUAUAAAAUUAUCCUCCCCGAAUAAAAAAUUGGGUAUAAAAUUAUCCUCAUACUCUCCCCAAAUGAGAAAAAUUCCCGAGAAUACCUCUCCCCGAAUGAGAAAUUGGGUAUAGAAUUUAUUCUACUUUUUCUCAUAAUUUCAUGAAGAGAAAGAAGUAUCAUAUUUGCUAUUGUUUUUGUCGAGAAAUUUUUUUGAUUAAAAUAAUAUAUUUAUACUUUUAUUUAAAGAAUCUUUUAAUUUUUUUCCACUCUUUCAUUUACAAUAUAUAAAAGUAAAUAAAUAUUUAAAGAAUUAAAUUUAGAAGAAUAUUUUAGUGAUCCUGUUAGAUUUAUUUAGUGUCUGUUUGGUAUAAUUUAUGUAAUGCUCAUAAGUAUUUAUUUAAUCUCAUAAAUUCUUAUCAUAAUUUUUGUUACUGUUUAUUUUUUUUAGAGAUUUUACAGUUUAAAUAAGUUAUUUUAUUUGUACUAGUAAAAUCUCAAAUUAGGAGUAGAGAUUGAAAUUUUUUUAAAUAUUAAAAUAUUUAAAAUAUUCUCUACUUAUUUGACUUUUUUUCAUAACAUAAUUUUAAAAACUUACCGAUUAAAAUAAUUUCAUAAAUUUUUAAUAAAAAUUCUUAUUAACAAUUAACAAUUAAAAUUUUAUUUAUAAAAAUUUUGUUAUCAAAAACUCUAUUUAAAUAAAUUUUAUUUAAAAAAUUAUAUUAAACGGAGCCUUAUCUCGCAAAUCAUGAUACCAUAACUACUUUGAAGAAAUAGGAGAAUGGAAAGAAUUAAAAAGACAAAAUCACGUUGUAAAAGAGAACGUGGAUCAACGUACUAGAGUCAUUAAUGACAAAUAAUUACACAUUUUGAAUUAGACUCCCAGCGUGACAGCGCUACCACUCUACCUAACCUAAAGGAGUACAAAAACCUUUUGUUUUUUUUGACAAUAGGUGCAGAUACGUACGAAUGCAUUAAUUAAUGAACAGCAGAGGGUAGAAGAAAACAAAGCUACGUCGCCAGACACGUUGCAGAAGGGAUUCUGGAAUGCAUUAAUUAAGGGGCCUUAAGUAUUCAAUAGUCCAAGAAAUGAGAAGGCAGAGCGUCGAAGAAAACAAAGCCACGUCGCCAGACACGUUGCAGAAGGGAUUAUGGAAUGCAUUAAUUAAGGGGUCUUAAAUAUUAAGUAGUGACAUCUUUUUUGUGUUUUUCCAUAAGAAGAUGCUGGAAUGCAUUAAUUAAGAGGCCCACUGUGAUUAAUUCAUAACUACUAGUAAUUUGUUUGUAUUCGAGUUGCUCCUUUGUAUAACUAGACGUGAAAAUGAGUGUUUGGUGGGGUGGUGGAGUCGAGGGUGCUAAGAGCAACAAAAAUAAAUUCUGAAGCAAUUGUUCUGACUCUUGAGUGCUUAUAUUUAUUUCAUUAAUCUCGGAAGAUAUGGCGUCUCAUAAGGUGCCUGGUAAUCGCAAAUUGAUAGGUUCCAAAUCAGAAUACUAUUUUAUGCUUUAUGCAGGUACUGAAGAAGUGAAGAGCUACGACCGGAUUGAUUUUGGUAUGUUUGGUCGGAGUUGGGCUCCCAUUGUUUCUUGGGCCGUGAUAGUUGUUCCCCACGAGCCGGAGAGUAAUUGGAGAAAAAAUUUACCUAAUCCAAGUGUCAAUAAUAUGGACCCCGCUAGCUCGCUUUGUGUUAUUGCAUCUGGUUCUUCUAAUGGUUAUAAGCCUAUAGGUGAUGAUAAAAAUGAUCGUCCUUUUCAUGGCGUUAGAACUACAGUUCCAUUGAACAAAUUGAAAUAUGAUCGUGAAGUGUUGCGCGGAGGUUCUCUUAUUUUGGAGAUUAAUCUUUUAGAGGUUUUUCACGGAGGAGAUGUCGUGGAUUCUGAUCAUACUUUUGAUGGUCAAGUGUUUUGGAACUUGUACUCGAAUUGAAUAUUGUGCGGUGAGAUAAGUUGAUGUGUGUAUUAAUGGUAUUAUCUAAUAUAAACAUAGGAUUGGACAUAUAGUUGUGUCAAUGUAUUGUGUAAUUUAACUACCUCUAGAUAAUAUUAUCGUUUGUGUAAUGAUUGUAAUUGAUGUUUUGUUGGAGGAUCCUUUAGUGUGCUUAUAAAAAGGAUUCAAGUGUGUUGUAACGAGCAGAGCUCUUCUAAGUCUAGUCCAUAAAUAAAUAAAAGAGUUGACUAUAAUGUAAUAUUGUGGGGUCUUCUACUGUGUCUAUAAAAGGAUCCAAGUGUGUUGUAAUAUGAGUAGAGAUUCAUGAAUUUAGUCUAUAAAUAAAUUAAACAAGUGUUUUAUAUAGUUUUUUAUGAACAUGUAUGGUCUCAUUUCCUUCAUAAAGCAAUGUAUAGACGUAGAGAUUCAUGAAUUUAGUCUAUAAAUAAAUUAAACAAGUGUUUUAUAUAGUCCUUUUAUGAACAUGUAUGGUCUCAUUUCCUUCAUAAAGCAAUGUAUAGCCGUUGUGACAAAAUCUUAUUACUCAAGUUUACUCAUGAAUCCUUUACACAAAUGUUACAAAUGUAUAAUAACAAAAUUGAAA